RNAcentral lists this long non-coding RNA (81855 nucleotides) under Ananas comosus (pineapple). RNAcentral describes it as "long non-coding RNA (ACOM_LNC031526)". Lineage: Eukaryota; Viridiplantae; Streptophyta; Magnoliopsida; Poales; Bromeliaceae. The record is from RNAcentral.
CUUAACCCUCAUGCCCUCAGCUCUCUCCUCUCUCACUCCCACAGCCCCUCUCUCUCUCUAGCUUUCUCUCUCUCUCUAACCGGUUGGGAGAAAAGAAGAAGAAGAAAAAGAGAAGGAAAAAGAGAGGAAGAAAAGGAAGGAGAAGAAGGCGAAGAAGGUUUUGAAGUCCUUCUUCAUCUCGUUUUUGGCCUAGGGCUUGCUUUGGAGCAAACCCUAGAGGUAAGCCUCAACCCCUUUCAUGGUAACUUGUGAUUUCUAGGGUUUGGAUGGUUUUUGUUGCUUUUGAUGGUUCAAAUGGAACCUAAUGAGCUUAGAGAACAUGGAUUUAGCUCACAUUGAAGCUAUAAUCCAUAACCUCUCAUGGAUCCCAACCCUAGGGUUAGAUUUUGGGGAUUUUAAAAAUGUGAGGGAUUGAACUCUUUUGAGGGGUUAGAAACCUAAUUCUUAUGCUUAUAAACGCGUAGGCGAAGACGGUUCGUCGAUCCGACGAGUGGGCGCGAAGAUAUCGCUAUUCGAUGCGCUAAAGGGUUAAAGUUAACCCAACGAAAAUUAAGCGGCGACAAGACUAGCACGAGAACGCGUCUCGGAGUGUUUGCGGCAUCACCCAAGGUGGGGGAGUGCCAUCCCGAAGUCAUCGGGCCACCUUCUAUGUCUAAGUUUUAAUUGAUCUAUUUGCAUAUUGUGCAUAAUACAUAUAGGGUUAGAAAAUGAUUAUUGUUGCUUAUACUUGCAUACUAUUAGUUCAAUAAAUAUAUAUAUUGCUUGGUUGGUUUAUGAUCUAGUAUGCAUGAUGGUUGCUUGAUGAAAAUCUAGACCCUAUAUGAGAUGAUUAAUGCUUAUGUUGCUAAAGAACUAGUAUGAUGAAACUAGUGUUGAUAAUGAGUCAAAUUGACGAGUGGCAUCUAGUUUAGAAAACUAUGACAAGUGGCAUCUAGUUAGAAAAACUAUGAUGAAUGACAUUGUUGAUGUUUCCUUGAGAUGAUCACAUUAGUGUAGUUGAGACACUAUGAGAUUGGGUACAAGUAUACAUUGAUUCCAUGAUGAUAUUACCCUAAAAAAGGGUUGUUGCUGUUGCUCGUGAGAUGAUCUUGCUCACAUUGCCUGUCUGCGCUUGGUGGGGUCGCUCCCCUCAAGUUGUGCGCUCCGGAGUUUGGUCACUAGAGAGGCAGCCGUCCGGUUCGAGGGCGGCGGGCGGACCGCCGAACGGACAGCACCUCCCCUGUCCGCCCAAGGCUAAACAAUGAGAUCAUGUACAACAAGUCCCCAGGAAAUCAACUUGAAUACAUACAUGAUCAUGCAACAACAGCGAGAGCACAAACAGUGCUGAACAAUACGAGAGCAAGCGUCACAAGUAGAAGACAUACAAGUGAAACAAAAGAGAGAUACUUAACUAUUCUAUUACAACCAUUCAGCUCGAUACAUUUAAUUACAACUUGCAUUCUUUUCCAAACUAUGAAUAUAAGCUUACAUUCUUCAAAAGAUAAACAUUAGUUUACAUUUAUCUCAAAAUACCUCACAUCCUAUACAUCAUCUACUCUCAAUACAUGUAUAGGGUAACUCUAAUGCAANUGAAAUGGUAAUAUGAUAGAAUUACAUAGAAACUGAUUGAUACUCCUAGCUGAUUUGGGAUUGGUUGCUAGGGUACUUGGAGUGCAUCGGAUACUUGUACUUACAAGUUCAACUAGAGUCGUUGAUUAUUGGUGGGUUGGACCUUCCCAAAAUGGGUGAAUUCCCUCUAUGUCUCCUUUGACAUUAUGAGUGAACAUAUUACAUGCUUAUGUGAACCUAUGUGUAUUUGAAGGAUUUGAGACAUGCAUCCAUGUGCAUACCAUAUCGGAUAUAAUAGCAUCUCUAUGCAAUAGAGAAAGAAUUAUGAAAUGGCCUAUUUCCCAUAGAUCAAUUGCUCUAUUCUCAUGUAUCCAUGUUAUUAGUAGCUUAUACGAACAAGAUAAGCAUGAUAUUAUUCAAGAGGGAGGAAUUGUAAAACCAGGAGUAAUAUUUAGCCCUACUGAACAACAAGGAAAUGAUGUACUUGAGAUGAAAGCAUGCAAUUCUAUGUUGUAGACAUAGUGCUUGAACUCUUAGUCUAUCCUAUAUAAUGAGGUUAUUAAUACAUUCAGGUGGAAUCAUGCAAGAGUAUAUUGGACAUUGUUUUACUUACUUGUGUUGACUAGUAUACUAUUGUUUUCAACUGAUCAAAUUAGCAUGAACUUUGUGUUUUGGAAUAUGAUCUAAUUAAGUGAUCAGAACUUGGCAUGAUGAUAUAAUAUGAAUGUACCUGGUUAAAUAUAAUAUAGUGAAAUGACUAGAAUAACCAUCAUGUAUACUAGUAAGAUCAAACCAAAGUAUUUGCAUGUGACUUAUUUACUCCAAGUGGUGAAGGGUUAAGUGGAACUUUAGAAUAUGUGCCAUGAGUCAUUUAAACCUAGAAUGAGUCAUUGAAUAUGACCUUAGUAAACCACUUUCCUUAUGUAUAGGGAGUAGUGAGAGGACUCUAUAUGAAUAUGCAUAGGUAUAGCCCAUCAUGAUAUUAAGUUUAUAAUUAUUCAGGUUAUACCAGCUAUUGGUCAAAGUAUGUCAACAAGUAGUUGAUAGUGACGUGUGGUUUGGGUACUACAGUGUCGACCUUGCGUUGAAUUGAGAUUCCAUGUUAGAGACAUGAUGAACUUGUGAUACUUGUGCUAUGGAUUAUAGCUUGCAUGCCAUUAUGCUCUUUCGCGCACGCUUGUGGGGAUCACGCCCCCCAAGCCAGCACUUCGGAGUAGCUUAGCGACAGAUUGCUCACUUAUGUACGAAGUGAGCGCCGAAGUGGAUUGCCGUGGGUAGUGUUAACUUCCACGGGGCCAUUAGGCACGACGCGGCUAUGACCUCACCCUGUGUAAGUUUAUUGUGAAUUGGGCCAUGAUGAGCCACUUUAACCUUAGAUGAACAUAGUAGUAAGAAUACUUUAUGUCAUGGGUCGAGUAAACUUAAUGAUGAACAAGCUAGAAAGUUAGCAUCCUAAUUAGUUAGUAGCAUAGUGAUAGUAUGGUUACACUGUUACCAGUGUAAGUACUAUCUAUAUAACAUCAUCAGUUAGUUCAAUGAUAAUGAGAAUCAUUGCAUAUAGCCUAGCAUAUGGGUAUUCAAAUUGUCAACUAACAUGAAUGAUAAAACUUAGCAUGCUAAACUAGUAUUCAACCUGUUGAUUUAUAUUUAUAUAUUUUCUGAGCAAAUGUCAUGAUUGAUUUAUUUCAAUACUUGUUACAGUAUGGUUACACUGUUACCAGUGUAAGUACUAUCUAUAUAACAUCAUCAGUUAGUUCAAUGAUAAUAAGAAUCAUUGCUUAUAGCCUAGCAUAUGGGUAUUCAAAUUGUCAACUAACAUGAAUGAUAAAACUUAGCAUGCUAAACUAGUAUUCAACCUGUUGAUUUAUAUUUAUAUAUUUUCUGAGCAAAUGUCAUGAUUGAUUUAUUUCAAUACUUGUUACACUUGCUUAAUUAUUGCUAUUUACUCAUGCCACAGUUGACCUAGUGGUGUAUUUCGCCACUCUCGGUGGCUUACCUACUGGGAACUAUUAUUUAAUAGUUCUCACACCAUCUUUGUUGUUGCUUUUACAGAGCCUUCCACAGCGGGAAAGGCUAGGGUUUCUGGCGAGGGGUCAACGGCUAGCUAGGAUCAUCUUGACGUUAAAUAGACAAACCUUUACCAGUUUAUGUAGUUUAGUUCAGUGAUGUAUAUUGAGAUCAUGUAAAUUGUAUUUUGUUUUUAUCUGUUGUAAUAAGAAUUUGGGUUGUAUAAGUUUAAACUCUUAGUUGUGCUCCUAUUACUUAGUUAAGUUAAGAUUUUGUUGUGUUACAUUACUCUCUUUGUUGACACCUGGUGGACAUCAUGUAGUUUAGUGUACACGGCGGGUUUGUGCACGUUGCUGCAAGCUUCCGUUGAAGACCAGGGCGUGACAACAUGAGUCGAGUUUCGCAUAUGCUUACGGAGAUUUGAUACAUGAAACACAUUAUGAACUCCCGCAAGCCUUGGUGGUAAUGCUAACUUGUAUGCCACCGCGCCGACGCGUUCCAAUAUUUCGAACGGUCCAACAUACCGGGGACUUAGUUUCCCACGGACUCCAAACCGUUUUACUCCACGCAUUGGCGACACCUUCAAAAAAAGAUGCGGUCUCCAACCGCAAACUCAAGAUCUUUUCUAAGCUUGUCGGCAUAGCUUUUUUGCCGAGAUUGCGCCAUCGCAAGUCGCUGGUGGGCAAGGAGAACUUUCUCUUCCGCCUCCCGCACUACAUCGGGGCCAAGAGCAACUCUCUCGCCCACAUUGCUACAUGGCACACAAAGAACCCUUCUUUGCAUCUACCAUUCGCUACCGAGCACAUGAAGGACUUAUCCCUCUACAACUCUGCUGAAUACCUCUUUCUUCGAGAUCAGGACUACCCCUUAUCCUCGUGGUGUGGAUCUAACAAGAAUGCAUCAACUGGCCGAAUGGUCCACCACCACUACACAAUAUGUACGUGUAGACCUCCUCGAUCCACUCAAGUGUGCACAAAGUGGCACUCUACCACUUUGGCUAUCCAAGAGUAUGCAUCCCCAUUUAUGACUCUUCUUUGCAUUCAUUAUCCCUUCAGGGAACACACUCCGAUUCUAUCACCGGCAUUGCUUAGAAGUAAUAACCCGGGUGCAUCGCUCCAUCGCGAGUGCUCCAAUCACAAUCGGACUCUUAGCUCUGCCGCGAGAUGGUCCACUUUGGCACAUCUGUACAUUCCAGUUCAUUUAAGAGCAUAGUCCCCAAAUCUCACGUGGCUUUCUACUAGCUCAAUGUCUCACAAAGAGCACUUCAUCUUUUUGAUACCAUAUGCCACGGUCAACAUCAAUCGCUCUCACAACGAGUUCACACGAACACUCCGUUCAUGAAUCCAAGCCAAUCUCACCGACAGAGUUGUCGGCCAAACCGCGCACCUUGGCUUCCACAGGUGGACCAAAGGUCACCAAUCCUACGUAGGCUUACCACCUAAACCCAUCUCAACUACGCACAGCAUCUCUCGUUUGCAAGCGUAGACCCAAUCAUCACUGGGCGAAAUUCUCACUUGGGAAUUCGUACACACUCCAACUAGGAGCAAACGAGACCCCAAACCACUAUAUAAUCUUCGAGUUGGGUCAUAACCGAACUCUCGGUACACUAUUGAUCACACGAUUCACACGUGGCACUCCACGCUCUCGGGUCUCAGCUCGGACUACCGCCCCGACCAUAAAUCUCUGCCUUACACGUAGGUACCGGGCCGCUGUCACUCACAGCUGACUGCGCCUGUCCAUAUGGCCCCAGGCUCCACAGUCCACAAAUGGUCCAAGCACGGAUCGUUCUCAAGCCAUACCCGCUAACGUCGUCUCUCACGACAUGCUCUACCAAGCAACACACAUCUCUAUCGGCUCCUAAGCAUCCAAGGCGAGCCACCAUGUCACGCCCCGGAGCUGCCAAUUUGGUCGGUUCGGGCACGCGAACAGACGCCGAAGGGACAGCACCUCCCUUGUCCGCCCAAGGCUCCAACAACAUGUAUAAUACAAGCAAUUCAAUACAAAUUAACGCAAUUAUAUAAGGUUUGCACGGGGCAAACAACAACUAUGACAAGUGAAAGCAUCGAAACUAACUAAACGUUCAACAUACAAGUCAUUUGAUUUCAUUUGAAUCAAACACAAGUAAAUUUAAAAUAUUACAUUCAUAUUCUUUUUCAUUCACAUUUACAUCACAAAGGCAUUCAACCCAAAAUAUGUUAUUUACAUCUUUUUCUUACAACUUUUUUGUUCAACAUACAAAAGUUGAUUACUAAAACAUAGGGUAUGCUUAUAAACUCCGAGGCCACUAACUCUGGCGCCAAACCCUUGCCUCGAUCCUCCGCCGCCUCGCUCGCUCAUGGAUCUGCAGGGUUAGUAGUGGUGUAAGAACUACAACGAAGUUCCCAGUGGGUUCGGCCGCCGACCGCGCCGACUCGCCCACUAGGUCUAUGCAGGCAUGUGUAAUUCAAGGAAUGAUAGAUUGCAAACCAACUAAUGCAAAACUAUUACAAUGCUUGCAAGAAAACUGUCAACAGAUAGAUAAUCAAAUACAUGAUAAAUAUGCAUGCAUAUUCUUUUCCUCAUUCAUUUUGGCCUUUACCCAAUUAUCCCGGGAUUCUCCUGGUUCACCCCAAACUCACAGUCCAUUCAUCUCGUCUACUGGGGGAGGCACAUGGCACUACCGCCCAAGGAAUCUUCGCCGGGGUACUUCCCCGUGGUGUCUACACUCCGGAGUAUACCGCUUGAGGAGGAGCUACCUCCCUCAAGCCGGAACCAAUGUGUGAGUACGAUCCAAUCCUCAAUUUGAGGGCGUAGCCAAACCUGUCUCAAUGCACAAAGCCUCAAUGCCAAGGAUAGGUCAUUACCAUAUCACAUUCCCACUAUACCUGAGCCACAAUGGUCCUGAUGCCAUUAUAGGUUAAACCUUGUUUAGCCGUUCUUAUUUUCGGUGCCAAUAUCGUCACUAAUGUCAAUGUCACCAUUGUUUACUAUGGUCAUAGUCUCUUUUUCAUACAUUCACAUACACAUAGGGUUUUUCGCAUUCAUAGUUCACAUGGUUCUAUAUCAAUUCAUAUGUUCUCUAGCAUACAAUUGAAUCUCAACCAAUCAUAUUCAUCACACUACCCUAUAUGCAUGAAUGCUAAUAUCAAUAUGCUCAAUAAUGGUAACAUAAACAUAGAAAAAAAUUCGGUGUUUCCGGAUAGCACCCCCCACCUCUUGGUGAUGCUAAGAUGCUGUAAUCCAAUUUUCCAUAAUUUUUAGACCUCUAUGCCGCUUGCUAUGGCAAAAUAAAGUUGAAACGGGCAUUUUUCCUCGAUAUCUUCGCGUACGCUCGUCGUAUUGCCGAACCGAGCGCGCCAACGCAUUCGUUAACCUACCCCGAAACCACUACCAAUUUGGCACGAUUCGGCCGUGGCGGCGGAUUGCCAAACGGACAGCACCUCCCCUGCCCGCCCAAGGCUCCACAACAAGAAUGUGUACAAGAAUUUACCCAGGAGAUUACAUUCUAAACAUAUACAUUCACAAGGGCACAAAUAGUGCCGACAAUACAAAGAGCAAGAAUCCAUAAGAUAAAAUAUGUGAAAUAAAGAGAAUACUUUACUAACUAUUACAUUAGUUUCAUCAUUUUCAUUUACAUCAUUUUCAUCCAAAAUGAAUACAUUUCUUUCAUCUCAAAAUGCAUAGCUCUCCAAGUCCUCACCUAAAAUGAAUCUCUCUCAAUACAUAGGUGUACUAAUGCAAAAGGAAAAGCUACUAAACUACCACGGUCUCACUGAUCGGGCGCGAUGCCCUUGCCGCGGUCCUCCCUCGGCAGCCCUGUACCUACCAUUGAAAAUAGAGUGGGGUGAGAACUAUCUUCCAUAGUUCCCAGUGGGCUCGGCCGCCGACUCUGCCGAUCUCCCCAAUAGGUCCAAGUGGGCAUAAGUAACAACAGAUAGAUAGAUAGAUAUGUAUCUGAAAGCUGUAAAUGCGAUAGUAGGAAAACUAUGCUACUAUGCCCAUAAUCAUGAAUAUGAAUGCAUGCAUCAUAUAAUAAAGGUUUGCUACCAUGCUAACAAAUUCGAUCCAUGUUCGAAUAGCAAUGUUCAAUGACAUUAUUAAACCUUUAACCUUUCCAUUUACCCAAUCUGUGGCGAGGCCCUAGGGCUCGCCUAUAACUCACCCUUCAAUCCCAAAGUGGGGAGGGAGCUCCAUGUGCACCCAAGCCCGGGACCGUCUGCGGACCUCCAUGUGGUCCGGACCUCCAAGUGGUCCUAGUCGCUCAACACUCCAGAGUACUCGACGACAAUCCCCUCCAUGUGGGGAUUGGAUGGCUAUACUAUUCCAAACGCAGACUGUGAGCUAGAUCUAUCCUCUCCAAGUGAGGAUGCCCUACAUCUAGGGUCAACAACUCAAUCAAGUCCUCUCCAAGCGAGGAUGCUCUACAAUAGAGUCUAUACCCAAUCGAAUCCUCUCCAAGUGAGGGAGCACUAUCACUGGGGUCAACAACCCAAUCAAAAUCCUCUCCAAGUGAGGAAGCCCUACCACUAGGGUCAAAGUCUCAAUCGACUCAUCGACAACCUCUCCACGUGAGGCUACUUAGGUUUACUAAGUUCUUUAUCCAUAAGGCAUUUUCUAAGGGAUCCACCUAUCCCUAGGUUCUCAAACCUCUAGUGUUAUUUACACUACAUUAAUGCCACUCGUCAUCAUUUAAUGUUUGGAUGCCACUCGUUUGUUCUUUAACAUUAACACUACUUUCUAUGUCAUCAAUACCCCCAUCGGGUUCACCUCUUUUCUUUCGCAUUAUAGGAUCCACGUUCCGACCCAAUCCUCACCUAUCUAAGUCACCAAGCGUUCCAAGUACACUAGGUUAUCAUUUAGAAAGCAUAAAGAAUAGAGUUACUAUGCAAUCCUACAAUGCAACAUGAAGAGAUGAGGUUAAAUGCAAUCUAAGACAUAGAAAAGAGUCCGAAAGCUUCGGGAUGGCACCCCCCCACCUUUAAUCGAUGUAGAGACUUCGGAAAUCCUUCUCAGCGAACUUUAAGAUAAGGCUUUAGCCUUCCUUGCCCAAAUCAACACUAACCCGGCCCUAUUUUGUCGAGAACUUCAUGCCGGCUCACCGAAUACCAAAACCGACUUCGCCCCCACGUUUUGUGACCUAACAAUAGGGUUUCCAAGGCUUCAAAUGAGAUCAAUCUCAUCUUUUCACAAAAAUUCCCAUUUUGGAGCCCUAGGUUUGCACCUAUAGCAAACCAUCCAAUAAAUCCCUAAAUUUAUGGGAUUGAUUUACUUAGAAGCAUGCUUAGGGUCCAUUUGACCCAUUCCAAAGCAUAAAAACCCAAAACCCUAAUAUUCUAGAAGCUAGGGUUCAAGAGCCUACCUCUUGUGUUACACCAAAGAGAAGAGGAGAGGGAGAUGAAGGUGCCCAAAGCCUUCCUCUUGAUCUCCUUCUUCUUCUCCUUCUUGUUCUUCCUCUUCUUUUCCUUCCUCUCCUUCUUGUUCUUCUUCUUCUCCUUUCCUUUCUAGAGAGAGAGAGAGCAAGAGAGCAAUGAGAGAGAGAGAGAGGGAGAAAAUGAGAGUGUGAGGGAGAGAGAGGGCUCAGCCCACUCUAAUAAAGGCCAUUUUGCAUAAAAACCCCUCAACUUUCCAUCCACUGCACAGCCCUCACUGGGCAGAGUUUGCGCGGAGGGACCGGUCUCCCCGACUUAGGAUCGGUCCCCGAGGGCCUCCCUCGGGCGCACGCGUUCGGGAACCGGUCUCUCCCCGGGAGACCGAUCCUAGGGAGACCGGUCCUCGCCUAUGUCACGCCCCGGGACCGAUACCAAUUUGGCCCGACCCGAGCACGUCAAACAGACGCCGAACGGACAGAGUUUCCCCUGUCCGCCCAAGGCUCAUCACAUGUACAUUUUCAUCAAUAGAGAAAAGCACUAGCGGAAACAUACACAAACGGCUUACACGAGGGUAAGCAAUAGCCAUUAGUGAAAGAAAGGAAAACUAAACAUUCACAAGUACUAUGAUUCAUUUUGAUCAAAUACAUUGCAUCCAUUUACAUUCAUGAUUCUUUGUACUUCAUUACACGUGGCAUCAUUUCCUUCUUACAUCACAUUUACCUCAAAAUACAUAUUACAUUCUUUUCUUUACAUUACUAGUCAUUAUAUACAAAAGAUGAACAUAGGGUACUUUACUACAAAAUGAAAUCCAACUUUGGUGGCCUCUGACUAAGGCGCGAUACCUUUACCUCGGUCGCUCGCCGGCUCGCUCGGUCCCGGCUCUGUGGAAAUAGUGGGGUGAGAACUACAACAAAGUUCCCAGUGGGUUCAGCCUCAACAUCACCGACUUUCCCACUAGGACUAACUCAGGCAUAAUAGAAAGAAUAAGCUGUAUAGUAACCAAUCUAUAACAUGAUGCUAAUAUGCCUGAACAAUAAGCAAGAAGUAUGCUCAACAUCAAAUAAAUGCAGAUUAUGCAAACUCAUUCGUUCUUUGACUUUACUUUGUACUUUGUUCUUUAUUCUUUGCUCUUUGUUCUUUGUUCUUUAAUCUCAAGGCUAACCCGGAGGUUUCGCCACAUUAGCUUGCUUCACAUUAAGUCUAUCAUCGCAGGAACUCACCCGCUAGGACCGUCCUUUGGGUUUACUCCAACCCGUGAUGCAUAACUCCGGAGCGCAUCGCCCGAGGGGGAGCGACCGCCCUCGAGCACAGAACUCAUAGCAAGUAUGAUCAUAUCCUUAACUCAAAGGAUUAUAAGUUCAAUCUUGACUUUACACUAGCUCUAGUGUUCAUUACAUCACUUUAUGUUGCAAACUCAUGCAAUCACGUUCUUUACAUUAUCCUUUACUUUUGCUGACUCUAGCAAUUAUAUUCUUUACAUUCUUUACUUUUGGCUAUCUCUAGCAUUUCACGUUCUUUACUUCCCACAUUGCGUUAACUUUAAGCAUUGUCAUUUUCAGCAUUCUUUACAUUACAUUGGUUCUUUACCUCACACUAUCUCUAGUGUCAAUUCACAUUAGCUUUAUCGAAUGCCACUCGAUCUAUGUUAUUGUGUCACUCAGUUCUUUUGCUCACUUUGGGUGCUCACUUUCUCUCAUGCAUACAUAGGGUUUUGACAUUCAUUUGGUUCUCUACCAUCAUUAUAAGCAAGUUGCACUCACAAUCAUGCUAUCAUCACAUUCUUAUCAUUACUUCACCCUAAUAUGCAUGCAACAAUAUAUAUAACACAUGCUCAAAUGAAUGACACAUUNCGACCUUGUCUGCGAUCGACGUCGAGGUGCCAUUGCUUCCUGAAAAGAAGCAACUCACAUUAGUCACUUGACCAACAUUACUUGACCAUACCCAAUUAGGCGAAAGCAACAUGCACAUUCAUCCUUGCCUCAAGCGUCAUGUCGUCGGCCGCCUGACACAACACUAGAAGUAGAGGAUAAACGAAAAUUAAACUUAGCCUCUAAUCACAUUAGAGACGUUCCAACUUAACCCAAUCACAUGCUUUCGCUAACUUUGAUCCCACGUCACUCACGUUUCCUAGAUCCUUAAGGCCUUCCAAUCCUAUAGGUCUCUAGGUCCAUUCCUAUUCUUUCACUCUUGUCUCUGAUACCAACUUAUCUGUCACGCUCCGGGACCGAUACCAAUUUGGCCCGACCCGAGCACGUCAAACAGACGCCGAACGGACAGAGUUUCCCCUAUCCGCCCAAGGCUCAUCACAUGUACAAAAUUCAAACAAGAAUUGCACUAACGGAAACAUACACAAAAGGCUUACACGAGGGUAAGCAAUAGCCAUUAGUGAAAGAAAGGAAAACUAAACAUCUACACAAGUAAUAUGAUUCAUUUUAGAUCACAUACAUUGCAUCCAUUUCUUACAUUUAGGAUUCUUUGCAUUCGUUACAUCAUUGCAUCAUUUCUUUCGUACAUCACAUUUACCUCAAAAUGCACAUUACAUUCUUUUCUUUACAUCACUAAUCAUCAUGUACAAAAGAUGAACAUAGGGUACUUUACUACAAAAUAAAACCCAACUUUGGUGGCCUCUGACUAAGGCGCGAUACCUUUACCUCGGUCGCUCGCCGGCUCGCUUGGUCCCGGCCCUGUGGAAAUAGUGGGGUGAGAACUACAACAAAGUUUCCAGUGGAUUCGGCCUCAACAUCACCGACUUUCCCACUAGGACUAACUCAGGCAUAAUAGAAAGAAUAAGCUGUAUAGUAACCAAUCUAUAACACGAUGCUAAUAUGCCUGAACAAUAAGCAAGAAGUAUGCUCAACAUUAAAUAAAUGCAGAUUAUGCAAACUCAUUCGUUCUUUGACUUUACUUUGUACUUUGUUCUUUAUUCUUUGCUCUUUGUUCUUUGUUCUUUAAUCUCAAGGCUAACCCGGAGGUUUCGCCACAUUAGCUUGCUUCACAUUAAGUCCAUCAUCGCAGGAACUCACCCGCUAGGACCGUCCUUCGGGUUUACUCCAACCCGUGAUGCAUAACUCCGGAGCGCAUCGCCCGAGGGGGAGCGACCGCCCUCGAGCACGGAACUCAUAGCAAGUAUGAUCAUAUCCUUAACUCAAAGGAUUAUAAGUUCAAUCUUGACUUUACACUAACUCUAGUGUUCAUUACAUCACUUUAUGUUGCAAACUCAUGCAAUCACGUUCUUUACAUUGUCCUUUACUUUUGCUAACUCUAGCAACUCACGUUCUUUACUUCCCACAUUGCGUUAACUUUAAGCAUUGUCAUUUUCAGCAUUCUUUACAUUACAUUGGUUCUUUACCUCACACUAUCUCUAGUGUCAAUUCACAUUAGCUUUAUCGAAUGCCACUCGAUCUAUGUUAUUGUGUCACUCUGUUAUUUUGCUCACUUUGGGUGCUCACUUUCUCUCAUGCAUACAUAGGGUUUUGACAUUCAUUUGGUUCUCUACCAUCAUUAUGAGCAAGUUGCACUCACAAUCAUACUAUCAUCACAUUCUUAUCAUUACUUUACCCUAAUAUGCAUGCAACAAUGUAUAUAACACAUGCUCAAAUGAAUGACACAUUAGGCAUAGAGAGAAGUUCAAUGAGUUUGAGAAGCACCACCCACCUCGUAGGCUUUCAAAGGUGCUCCGACGAUUUUCUUGGGAUUUUUUAGAUGCUUCGUUCUUUACCUGCGACAAAACGAACCCUUAUUAGGCCAUUUUGCCCAUAUCUUUACUUUGGCUUUUCGUAACGUUAAUCCGAGCGCACCAACGCGUCGGAAAUACCCCCAAUUAGGUUUCUAGAGGGUUAAUUGCACUUAGAAACCCCCAUGAGCAAAAGCCCCAAUUUGGGUGCCCUAGCUCCAAUACACAUAUCAAACCUAGGGUUUGAUCUCAUUCGGAAGCAAAAGUAGCUUCAUUAUACUCUAAAUAGUCCAUUAGAACCAUUCUUAGCUCACUCCAAACCCUAGUUUGGAUUUCACCAUUAGAGGUGGGUUGAAGCUCACCUUGAGCUCAACCAUGGUUUUGAUCUUUAAAGAAGCAAAAAGAAAGCUUCAAAUACUCCAAAGGUUCCAUAAAAACCAUCUUCAUUCUAAUCCAAACCCUAGUUUGGAAUUAAACAUGAGAAGGGGCAAAGCUUACCUCUAGGCUUGCUCCUUUCUUGCUCUAGAGAGGAAGAAGAUGAAGCCUCUUUGCUCCUUGAUCUUCUUCUUCACUUUCUUCUCCGUCUUUUCCUUCUUUUCUUCCUUUCUUCUUCUUCUCCUUUGUCUUCUAGAGAGAGAGAGGAGAGAGUGUGGGAAGGUGUGGAAUGAGAGAAAAGCCCUCAUAUCCCCCAUACAUAACCAUUGGGCUGCAAAAAUGCAAAUAAACCCCUCAACUUUUAUCUCUGUGCACUGCCUGGACUGGGCAGUUUUCGCGGGCAGAGACCGGUCUCCCCGAGCAGGGACCGGUCCCCGAAGGUCCACCCUACGCAGCCAGAGCUUUCGCGCGCAAUGCAUCCGGUCCCUCCCGGGUGGGACCAGUCUCUGGGGGACCGGUCUCUCAGACAGAGACCGGUUCCCGAGAGCUGUCCUUCCAGGACUUAGCCGAUUUUUCGGCUGUCUCAUUCUGCACGCGUUCGGGGACCGGUCUCUCCCACCAGGGACCGGUCCCCGAGAGCUCAAAAUCUGCAGUUUUGCAGAAGUUGAUUCUUUAGCUCUCGAAAACCUCCCGUAACUCACUUUUGAUGACUUUAACACCUUCGGACUUUCCGAAGUGUACCAUCCUCGCACUUUGGUCAAUUUGACUAAAGUUCGAUAUUUAUUUUCCGAAUUUUCGGUAUAUUACAUGAACAACCCUAGGCUCAAACAUUAACCAUCAUAAGCAAAGGGGCAAAAACUCACCUAUAGAGUAAAAUUCCCUCUCAAGCUCUAAAAGAGAGCUAGAACCCCUCCAAUCCAACCAAGAGAAAUGUUCUAAACCAAGAGAUUUAGCUCAAAAAGACCUAAAUCCAAAAUGCCCAAAACAAACCCCAAGUUUCCAUUCUAGGGUUUCAUUUAGUUUAAAGCAUCAAAAUUAGAAUCUAGAGGAAAGAAACUUACUACUAACCUCUUAGAAGCUUCAAUCCAAGCUCAAAGUUUACAAGGUGUGGAGAUCUCCCUCCUCCCAAGCUCCCAACCCAAGGUCCAAGCUUCUCCCAAGGUGAAAUUUGCUCCAAAAAGGAAAAAGAGGAAUUAAACCAUAAUAAUCCAAGAAAAAGAAAAGAUAAAUACCAAAGAGAGGCAAGGAGAAGCUCCCCCUACCUUGUCUCCACAGAUCCCAGCUCAGGGGAGGCCCUAAGGGGCGUGGGGUAUGUAUAGAGUUGCUACAAAAGCAAAUACACCCCUCAAAAGCCGUCAAAUUGCAGUCUGGCAAAGUGUACCGGUACAUGAAAAAGUGUACCGGUACAAAUCUUGCGAAACGUCAAACCCGAGCCUCGGGUUAGAAAUUCGUCACAAGUGUACCGGUACAACCACCAAGGUGUACCGGUACAAAAUCUGUACCGCUACAACCAUCAAGGUGUACUGGUACACAGCCCUGCAGAAAGCAAUCCGAGAGCAGCCUAAGUCCAUCGCUUUGGUGACCUUAGCGCUACAUAAAGCACCACAAUUCUCGGGAUACGAGCCAUAGGUCGGAACACUGUCAACGACCCACCAGAAAAUCUGCAAAAACUCAGAAUACUGAUCAAACACUCGAACCUCGCGAUUUGUAAAUGUCCACUGUGUUACAUGAACAUAGAAGUCCUAAUAAGACUAUCAAAGCGAGUAUAAUAAAAUCACUAAAGUUCUAGCAUAAAGGGAUCCACCAAAAAGAUACAAGAAUAUACAACUAAAUUCAGAAUCUAUCAUAAAGCUCUAAACAAUUACAUAAUACAUCUUUUUCAAAGGUACAAAAAGAAAAGAUGACAUUGGAUCCAACUAAAAUAACUCCGUAGGACUCUAGCUAGCCGCCAACCACUUGUCUCGAUCCCUAGCCACUCCCAAUGCGGAUGGCUCUAAAAACAACCACAAAAUAGAGGGGCUGAGAACUAUCAAAAAUAGUUCCCAGUGGACAAUUACUGAUCUCAGCGAAAUGCUCCACUAGGCUGACGUAAGCACGCUAUAAGUGUUAAUUCAUAAGCAGAUAUGAAAGCAGGUAUUUAAACAAGUUUCUAUCAAAGUCAUGUUUCUACUAGAAGGAUUAAUAAAUUAUCAUGCAUAUAAAGUUCUAUUGUCAUUUGAUCAACUAUAUAUCAAUGUCGGUUUACAUGCAUAAUCAAUUAUAUGCUAAUGUUCUAUUAUAUGCACAUUCAACAAUAUGCCAAUACUAGUUUACAUGCAUGUCCAUGAUAUUCAUAAUGCUACAAUAAGUGACGAUACAUCUCAUUACUAUUCUAACCAUACAUUAUGCCAAUCAAUAUAAGUGUAACAUACUACCACUAGAGUGUCAAUGCUAACAAUGACUAACAUAAGGUCCACAUAUGCACUAUCAUGCGUGUCCACUAUUCCAAUUGAUAUACAUCAUCUAGUAGUAGUUUUCACAUUACACUUUAGGUUUCAUAGUUCAAUCCUCGUCAUGGAUCUACACGUGUGUAGUCGGGCUGGUGCCGUGCCAAAAAUAGUCCCGUAGCAGUCAACAUUCCCACUGUAGGAAUGAGCCUCCCCCACGGCAUCCCAUUUCGACGCCCAAUCCCGCACGGUCGAGCCUGUGUCGCGUAGGCUAUCUCCGGAGCGCCGGCUUGUGGGGAACGACCCUCACAAGCAUGUGCAAAUGAGCACAAAGGCAAGCAAGCGUGAUCAAUAGUAUCCAGCUCUCGGUAAUCAUGUUUAAAAUAUGGAAUAAGUGGCAACGACCCCAAAGGUCCCAUAUGUUAGAAAAUUGCGUAUGGUAAAACACAGCGGAAAAAGAAAUCAAACAAAUUUGAUUUUGAAAACUCUCGAGAUCCAAUCUCAAAAACCACGCAAUUUGGAUCCCUCAUGUUCUUUAAGAUUAAAGGAGAAAAGUAAGAUCGAAUCUUUAUCUUUUUCGCGGAUAGAUCUUGUCAAGCCCCGGGGCCCAGCGGGAGCCCGCCCGGCACGUGUCCAGACCCGCCAUAUGUCUAAAACAUAUAAGGCGUGUACGAUACAGCAAUAAAUAAAAUUAAAUAAUACAAAGAGAUCUAGUGAUAUCAGAGCAAGGUACUACUAGAAUCUACAACAGGAGAGUAUAAUAAGAGCUAAAAUCCACAAAAAUAAAUCAUGAAGUAGAACGACAGAAUUCCGAGUACAAAUGCUAUAAGUGGUACAAUGGUGGUCUCUAUACAUGGUAACAAAACUCUCUCUCUCACCAAAUACCCAAAAAGAGAGUAGACCACCUAGGAGUAAAGGCAGGCUCCGCACUAACUAGCUACGCGACUCCCUCGCCGUGAUCCCGUGCCUCCGCCGGUGCUGAAGGCUCUGAAAAAAAGUAUCAAACAGAGGGCAUGAGAACUAUUAAAUAAUAGUUCCCAGUGGGCAAUUACUGACUUCAGUGAAAUGCACCACUAGGCCCAAAACUAANCCCUCCUUCCUCUCCUUCUCCUUCUUCCUCUUCUUCUCUAUCAAGGGUGUAGAGAGGGUUGAGAGAAGCGAAAUGGGGAGAAGAGAGGGUGGAGGGGUCAUAUAGACCCUCUAAUGUAACAAAAUCCCAAGAGACCCCUCAAAAAUCCAAUAUUGGAUCAGCCCGGUCUGGACAGUUUUCGCCCAGAGGGACCGGUCUCUCCCCAGCAGGGACCGGUCUCUCGCUGCGAACCCGAAAAACCAACGUUCGGGAACCGGUCUCUCCCUGCGCGGGACCGGUCUCUCUCUCUGCGAAGGCGCGCUCGGGGACCAGUCUCGCCCGCCAGGGACCGGUUGCCUCAGGGCUGCCGCAACACUGCUGAUUGGGGGACCGGUCUCUCCUUCCAGGGACCGGUCCCCGAGAGUGAAAACUCUCAGGACCAAACCAAAACUCAGGUUUUCGAACUUUUUAGGUCGGAAAACAUUCUACAACCCUCCACCAAGUGUGGAAAAGCUCGAAAUACACCCAAACACUCGAACCUCGCAAUUUGCAAAGGUCAAGUGCGUCACAGCAACAUCAUCCUCGUGAUGUCCCCACCUAGCACCACUAUCCGUUGGAGGUACGACCUCAACUCCAAUAUCAAACAGUACUACUGUAACAUACCACAUCCCUCGUAAAUCGUGCCGAGUUUCGUCGAAACGAGCGGAACGCGGAGUGGGUCGAGUGGUUAUAGGCCCUAAGUGCGUUGGAGCCUAUAUAUAUGGUGCAAAGGGACCCGAGAGAGUGAGAUUUCAAAAUCUGGCUAAGUCUCAGAUUUUGUGCUCCUGGGGACCGGUCCCUGAAGGAGAGACUGGUCCCCGUACGCGUAGCCUGCUAGGAAAUCUUGAGGCAUCCGGUCCCUGGUGGUGAGACCGGUCCUCGGGAGACCGGUCCCUGAGGGAAAGACCGGUCCCUCGUUGCGCAGCAGCUGAAAAAGCCCGAAAAUCGGCUAAGUCCUGGAACCCCUCGGGCAAAUCGGCUAAGUACUGAACCCCUCGGGCAGUCCGACUGGAUGUGGCCCUCUUGACCACACAAGUAACACUUGCCCUGCCUCUAAGAGCACUGUCGUGGGUAAUGACGACUACCGCAGAUCACGCAACUCAGAGUCUGGCGAUGCUCAGAUCCUCCACGCUGUGCAGAUGAGCCACAUCCUCGCGAUUGGCUCCUGUUCCUGGCAUAUCUCGGCGGCCUCCCAGAGUGCGUCUGACUCGCACCCUCAGCCGCAAGCCUCUUGCCUUUCCUUUGUCCGAGCCUCCUCGAUGCUCCUGCAAGUCCACCGCGCCGCUCUUCAUGAUGAGCGCACGGUUCACCACAUCUCAGUAAGUCUGAAGAUUGGAGGAUUACACCAACCGAAAGAUUAACGACUAAAGUCCUCCCUCGAAGAUGCGAGCCUUAUUCUCGUCGUCCUGCACAACAAAGGGCACAUAGUGUAGUAGCCGAGAAAACUCCCUCUCGCACUCGGCCACGGUUCGAUCUCCUUGGUGCACCUCGCACAGAUCCUGCUCCAUCUUCUCUUAACACUAACGGAAAAGUAGUGCUCCAAUAAGAGUUCCUUGAACCUCUUCCAAGAAAUGGCUGCUAGGUCAGUGUUGGGAUUAUCUUGGAUUCCCAACCACCAGCUAUAGGCCUCGCCGUCCAAAUGGUGAGUAGCGAGCCCAAACUCUGUCUCUCUUCUCCAUGAAAGUGUCGCGGAACAACUUCUCCAUGUGCAUAAGCCACUUUUCAACGAUCCAGUGGUCGGCUUUCGCUCUAUUAAAGAUCCUGGGAUCGCACCUCCUGAACUCGUUGAGGCGAUCUAUGAGCCGCUGCCGCUCCGCUUCCUCAACCAUCAAGGGGAAAACCGCCGCUGCUAUAGGCACCUGAGCUGGUGGUGCCGCAAAUACCUCCUCCCGAGGUGCUACCGCAGGUGCCGUCCGCGAAGUGUCGAGUGCAGGGGACGACCUCCUGGGUGCAACCCCCUCUACCAGCGCGGGUGGUACAGGGACCUAAGCCUCCCUGGCAGCCGCUUGCUGUAGUAGAAGAUUCUUCAGGCGCUGCAUCCGUGCCUCCUGUCGGCGCGCCGCAUCUGCAUGCUGUCGAGCCCCCGCCCCGCCUGCUGCGUCACCAAGUCAGUGAGGGCCGCAAUGUCACGCCCCGGGACCGGUAGAGGCCUUCCCGGUGGCGUGCCCAGACCCGCCAUAUGUCUACACAUAUAAGGCGUCUACAAUAAAAGCGGAAGUAAAAGCAAGAAAUAGAACAAAUAGAAUAAAUAGCAACUAAUGAUAUCAGAGCGAGUAAAGUUCUAUCAUCUAAACCAGAGUAAAAGAAACAUAACUAGACAAUAAAAGUAGCCAUAAGGUGGUACAGUAUCUGUCCCAAAGGUACACAAAAAGGGUAGUCUCUAGUACACUGGUACAGCUCUCAACCUCUCCAAAAUAAAAAUAUCGAGAGGUAGACCACCUAGCUACUCGUCUCUCGCAGAAGAGCUAGCUCGAAGCCACGCCCUUCCCUCGGUCCCUAGCCUCUCCCGGCAGGGAAGGCUCUGAAAGAAAACAUAAAACAGAGGGCGUGAGAACUAUAUUUUAUAGUUCCCAGUGGGCAAUUACUGACCUCAGCUCAAUGCACCACUAGGCCCCAAAGGAAAAGGGUAAGUAACAACAAUAAUGAUAAAAAUAAAGAGCGAGUAUAAGAACUGCUGAAAGAAAGCAUAAAUGAAAUGCUAUACUACCAUGUCCCAAGUAAGCAUGAUGUCAUGGUGAUGUACAUCUACGCUAUCACAAGAUAAUAUGUCCAAUGCAUACUAAUAGGCCAUAACAUAAUAAACAAGUAAACCUCACGAUGCAAUAUGUCAAUGCAAAAGGAGUAAGCUCUAUCAAAGCAACCCAGUAUGCUAAGAUGCGAUGAAUGAAACAGGCAAGUAUACUAUAUAUCCCAAUGCUAGGUCAUGAGCAUGUCAAGUAAUCCAACUACUAAGCCUAUCUAGUAGUGAUUAGUCAAUCUCAACACUGUGUCGAUUUCCAUUUCCAAUUAAGGACCUACCAAAGGUACUCCAGCUUGUGCCGCCUAAGUGCCUGUGGUAGCCCAACAUCCUUACUCUUGGAAUGUGUUUGUCCCACUCGACCCCGUAGGCUUCUCAAUACCGCACGAGCGAGCAUAAGUCGCGUAGGCUAUCUCCGGAGUGCCGGCUUGUGGGGAGCGACCCUCAUAAGCAUGUGCGAAAGAGCACAAAUGGCAAGCAAGCAUAGUCCAAGUCUCAAGCAUCCAAUCCUCAUGUCUCUAACAUGGUAUCGUCACUAGCAUCCCGAAGAUCUAGUUUACGUCACAAGGCGAGGUUCCAAACACUCACAACGCCUAGUGCCCCUUGAUGACACUUAGGCAAUUUAAUGUUCAACAUAAGCCAAAUCCCGCAAUGGCUCUAACCAGUAGGUUCACACAUGUCCCGAGCUCAAUGCCGCUUAAUGACAUUAGCUCUCUAAUUCACAUACAUUCUAGUUCAAUACCUCUAUAUGGCAAUUUUGUCACCUUUCAUGUCACAAAUAAACUUAAGUUUAAAUGCAUGUGCCAAUUCUCCUUUACACUAUAGAAGCAUGAAACCAAGUCUCAUAUAGAAUGCUAAAUGCAACCAUAGAUCUCUCAAGCAACUCUCUACUACAUAGAGGUCCAAAAUUUCACCACAUGCAACAUAGGCAUUUUAACCCUUCUAAAAAUCAUAAUAAAUGCAUCUAGCAUGGAAAUGCAUGCAUAAACAUUUAACAGUACUCAAAUCAACACAAAUGAGAUUUUCUCAUUGUGUGGCUAGGCCAAACCCACCGAUCCGUCGCGUAGGGCCUCGUUUCGCCGAACGGAGUUGUCCACGAGUCUCAAAAUACCCUAAAAGUAUUGAGCGAAGAGAUACACGGGCAUUACGAUCAACUAUAAGAUCAAACAUUAACCUAGAAGCAAAAGGGCCAAAACUCACCUCAAGAGUAGAAAUCCUCUCCUAAGCUCCAAAGGAGAGCUAGAAUCCUUCCAAUCCAAGCCCAAGGAAGGUUCUAAUUCAAGAAAUUUAGCCUCAAAAGCCCUAGAUCAAAAAGCCCCAAAAAUCAACCCUAAUAUACAUUCUAGGGUUCCAUAUGGUAAAACCUACCAAAUCAAGGAUCAAAGGGUAGAAUCCAAGUAGUAACCUCCCAAGAUGCCUCCAAACAAGCUCCAAAUCUUCUAGGGUUGAAGAUUGGUCCACCACCAAGCUCUACAAGCAAGCUCCAAGCCUUGCAAAGGUGGAAAGGGGGAAAAGGGUUGAGCUCCAAGCUCCCUCAACCAAGCUCCUCUUCUUCUUCUCCUCUUUCUUCUUCUUCUCUCUCUAGAAGGUGUAGGGAGUGGGUGAGAAUGAGGGAAUGAGAGAGGGAUGAGAGAGAAAUGGCUAAUAAGCCCAUCUAGUGUAACAAAUCCAGUGAGGCCCCUCAAAAAUCCAAUAUUGCAACAGCCUGGUCUGGGCAGUUUUCGCCUAGAGGGACCGGUCUCUCCCCAGCAGGGACCGGUCUCUCGCUGCGAACCCGAAAAACCAACGUUCGGAAACCGGUAUCUCCCUGCGCGGGAUCGGUUGCCUCGCCGGCUGCGCAGCACUGUUCACUGGGGGACCGGUCUCUCCUUUCAGGGAUCGGUCCCCGAGAGUGAAAACUCUCAGGACUCGCCCAAAACUGGGGUUUUCGAACUUUUUAGGUCGGAAAACAUUCUACGACCCUCCACCAAGUGUGGAAAAGCUCGAACCACAACCAAGAACUCGAACCUCGCAAUUUGCAAAGGGCCAGUGUGUUACACGCAAGCUGGCUCCUCAACUCACGGACCUCGCCGGAUCCGAAGGUAGCGGAUGUCUCCGCUUCCUCAAGGUUUGCAACGUCAUCCGCUCCAACAGACUUAGAGCGUGUAGUUGGCAGCGAUAUUACAACGUCAUAAAAGCACGAGUUAACAAAACCCACGCUAUCGAAUCCCCGCUCAAAACGAAUACCCAAAUCAUGCGAAAGUAAGGAAGUGUUAUCCACAACUAACUCCCGAUGUUACGUUGUCGGCCUCCAACGUAACCCUCCGCGAAGUUAGAAGUCAUACACUCCGAUCCAACUCCAACUUUUUAGAGUUAUCGUAAAACCCAAUUGAAAUACUUUCGCUUACAAGUCAAAUAGACCUCGUCUCUCAUGAGCCUAUUUUCUAUAGUCCAAUCGGCCUAAGAUUCACUAGGUCCACUAAGACUCAACCCUAGGCUCUGAUACCAAAAUAAUAUGUCACUCCACGGGGCCGAGCGGGAGCCCGCCCGGCACGUGUCCAGACCCGCCAUAUGUCUAAAAUAUAUAAGGCGUCUACGAUACAAAAAUAAAUAACAUUAAAUAAUACAAAGAGAUCUAGCGAUAUAAGAGCAAGUUACUACUAUAAUCUACAACAGGAGAGUAUAACAAGAGCUAAAAUCCACAAAAUAAAUCAUGAAGUAGAACGACAGAAUUCUGAGUACAAAUGCUAUAAGUGGUACAAUGGCGGUCUCUAUACAUGGUAACAAAACUCUCUCUCUCACCAAAAAUACAAAAAGAGAGUAGACCACCUAGGAGUAAAGGCAGGCUCCGCACUAACUAGCUAUGCGACUCCCUCGCCGCGAUCCCGUGCCUUCGCCGGUGCUGAAGGCUCUGAAAAGAAAGUAUCAAACAGAGGGCGUGAGAACUAUUAAAUAAUAGUUCCCAGUGGGCAAUUACUGAUUUCAGUGAAAUGCACCACUAGGCCCAAAACUAAGCAAGGGAGGUAAGAAUAAUAUGAAUAAAUAAAUCACAGAAAUAAAAGCUCACUAUAGCAUGAUGUCACUACUUUCAUCAGUAAUAAUCUACCACAUGAUCUCUACUUAGCAUGAAUUUGCAUAAGUAAUAAACUACCACAUGAUCUCUACUUAGUAUGAAUUUGCAUAAGUAAUAAGCCACCACACGAUCUCUACUUAGCAUGAAUUUGCAUAAGUAAUAAGCUACCAUGGCAUAAUUGCACAAGUAUAAGCCUAUCACAAUAAUCACAAGCUAGAAUGGUAAUGUGUCAUUAUCCACUAUUCUAGUCAAUGUCCAAAAGGUACAAUAUGUCGCCAGUAACCCAAUCAUGUGGAAGCUACCCGUAGGCAGUCCGGCCUACGCCGUGCAAACAAUGGCCCCGUCGUAGUCAACAUCCCCACUCCAGAAAUGAGCCUCCCCCACGGCAUCCUAUUUUGGCGCCCAAUCACGCACGGGCGAGCAUGUAUCGCGCUGGCUAUCUCCGAAGUGCCGACUUGUAGGGAGCGACCCUUAUAAGUAUGUGCGAAUGAGCAGAAUGACAUGCAAUCGAAUAAGUCCGUCUCAGGUCCCAGUGGUUCUGUAAUCUUAGCAUGAAUUUGCAUAAGUAAUAAGCUACCACAUGAUCUCUACUUAGCAUGAUUUUGCAUAAGUAAUAAGCUACCAUUGCAUAAUUGCACAAGUAUAAGCCCAUCACAAUAAUCACAAGCUAGAAUGGUAAUGUGUCAUUAUCCACUAUUCUAGUCAAUGUCCAAAAGGUACAAUAUGUCACCAGUAACCCAAUCCUGUGGAAGCUACCUGUAGGUAGUCCGGCCUGCACCGUGCCAACAAUGGCCCCGUGGUAGUCAACAUCCCCACUCUAGGAAUGAGCCUCCCCCACGGCAUCCCAUUUUGGCACCCAAUCCCGCACGGGCGAGCAUGUGUAGCGAUGGCUAUCUCCGGAGUGCCGACUUGUAGGGAGUGACCCUCACAAGUAUGUGCGAAUGAGCACAAUGGCAUGCAAGCGAAUAAGUCCGUCUCAGGUCCCAGUGAUUUAUCACUGUUUCAUCGGAUCUAAAACCCGGAAUACAGCACACAUCCCAAAGGCCUGCCUCUAUGUCAUCGCGUCUAAAACACGGAAUAUAGUAAUUGUCUCAAUGGCGUAUCUCUAUGUCAUCAUGUCUAAAACAUGGAAUAUAGUAACUGUCUCAAUGGCCUAUCUCUAUGUCAUCAUGUCUAAAAUAUAGAAUUUAGUAGAUUUCCAAUGGCCUAUCAUCAUGUCUCUAAGUUGUAGUUCAAUAAUUUUCUAGUUCAAGUGCCCCUUUAUGACACUUUUGCUUACUAUGUCCCAAUAUGAAUAAUAAGUCUAAAAGCUUGUCAUUUUAAUCAUUUUUCACACAAGAAACAUGAUCUUACAUCAUUCAUUAGAACAUUAAACUCAUGCAUACUAACAAUGCAUAUGCUUCUCUCUACAAUAUAGAGUCAGUUUUUCAUGAUGCAUAACAUAGGCGUCUUAAGCGUUCUAAAGUUCACAUAAGUUUCAUUUAACAUGAAUAUGCAUGUAUUUAUAGAAUACGAAAACAUUCAACCACAUAGGAGGCAUUUCCUCCCAUUUCAAUGAAGUCAAACCCACCAAGUCCUCUUGAAGCCCAUCGUUUCGCCGAAGGGAGGUGCCCACUAUCCUCCUAGCUCCCUAUAGGUAAAACUAGGGGAGUUACACGAACGAAACGAACUACAACAAGCUAAAACAAUAACAAACUCAAGAUAAGGGCGUAACUCACCUAUAGUGAAGCAAACCCUUCCGAAGCUCCAAAUGGGAGCUAGAACCCUUCCAAUCCAACCUAGAGGAUGAUUCUAAACCAAUCAAUUGAGCUCCAAAAGCCCUAGAUCAAAAAUCCCCAAAUCAAGCCCUAAAUCUUCAUUUCUAGGGUUUCAUCACAAAGAGACCAAUAAAACAUGAGUCAAAAGGGGAGAACAAGUUUCUAACCUCUUGAAAAGCUUCAACCCAAGCUGAAAGUCCUCUAGGUUCAAGGAUUUUUCCUCAAACAAGCCUAAAGUCCAAGCUCCAAGCUUCAACAAUGGUGGAAAUUGCUCCAAAAUGCAAAAAGAGAAGUAAAUCCACCAAAAUCCAAACUAAAAGGAGAUCAAAACCAAAGAAAUGGUAAAGAGGGCUCCCUUACCUCCUUCUCCUCCUUCCUCAGCUCAGGGAAAGCCCCAAGGGGCGUGGGUGAUAUAUGGAAUAUCUACAAUUGUAAAAACACCCCUGCAGUUCGACCAUUCAAAAUCUGUCACUGCGUACCAGUAUACGGGCCUCGGGUUUGACAGAUGCCAAACCCGAGCCUCGGGUUGGCUGGGAAGCUGCCUGUGUACCGGUACACGAGCCCGUACCGGUACAACCAUCAACCCUGUACCGGUACAGCCAUCAACCCUGUAUCGGUACGUAGUCUGCUGAAGGCUAUCCGAGAGCACACUAAUAAUCCAACUUUUUGGGUUUUGGUGCCAAGUUUUAAACCUCAAUUCUCGGGACUCGAACCAUAGGUCGGAACACUGUCUACGACCCUCCACAAAGUGUGGAACAGCUCGGAACACAAAUCAAACACUUGAGCCUCGCAAUUUGCAAAGGUCCAGUGUGUUACAGAUCUUCACCUCAAUUUGAUAAUCGUGGAAUUCGGUUCUCUUGAAGCCGCACACGCGUCCGGCCACUAUAGGUAUCCACACGAGGUUCUUGAUUUGAUCGAUGUCCUCACCGGGGUGCUAGCUCCCUUGCAAAGGACGUCUUUCUUGUUAGAAUAUGGAAGAGAGAAUAAGAGAGAUGACGGCUGGGGUUUUCUAAAAACUCUCGUAUAUUAUAUAUAGGAAUAUAAUCCUAUUCCUAAUAAUAUAAUGACAAUUAAGGAUAAGUAUAAAUCUAGAUUUAAAUUUAUCUUUUCCUUAAUUGGUUAGAUCGAUCAAAUUCUAAUUUGAUUCGACUUGAAUUUUAUAUUAAUUUGAUCUUAUCAAAUUAAUAAUGCAACAUUUGCACACAAGUCCUCUUAUAAUUUACUAACUAUUAGUAAGUCCUCUUUUGUAACAUUUACACUUUAAUACCACUAAUUUGUAACAAUUACAAAUUAGUCCAAUUAUCAACAUAUUGACAAUUAGGUCCUCCUGCGAUUCAAUAAUCGCGAUCUAGCAUCCGAUCAAUCACAACCUCUUAUGUGUGUGACCCUAUAAGUUCUAUUCUAUCUGGUAGUGAGAUAUAUUUUGAUCACUAUCAACAAUAUCACGGAAACUCCUUUCAGUAAAUCAGAACAAUUCCAACUCUGCCCAAUGAGAAUUAUCGAUCAUAUAGAUAAUUCUCAUGAGUCUCACAAUCCACCAGUGACGCCUAGCAGCAUGUAGUGGCAUUCCAGUAUAAUGGAAUACUGAACCUCUUGGUGCAAUUACCGUGUGAUACAAUCCUUCUAUCAUGAGUCCCGACAAGACGGAGGUUAUGGAAUAACUCGUCAAAGCCCAUCGCCUGUCAUAUAUUAAAUUUAUUCGACUCGAGUUUCUAAUAUCGGAAACCUUUUUUCGCUAUUAACUCUGCCCUGGCCAAGGUCUUCUGAACUCGGUCUCAUAAAUCACAUCGGACUAACACCCCUAUCUACCAAGUGAGAUAGAUUUUAUCUAAGUGUCACCCUAUUCCUACAAUAAACCUACUGUAGCCAACAUGCAUCGCAAGGACCCGAAUGGCUAGGGACCAAGUGUAUGUACAAUCAAACUACAGUAAUCUCAUUGUGAAUAGCCGAGGCACCGCAGGUCAAAGUACCAGUCACACUACUGCAACAUUGAGUAAGUCACUGACGAGUGAGAAGACAUCCAAGUGACUUCUCGUGAUGGUCACGCUCGGUACCCUUGUUCUCUAACAACCACCUGCAUAUUCGCUUCAGUGUCCCUACACUAUCGACUCGAGACCCGUCUACCCAAAAGAAAAGCGACCUAUGCACCAAUCUCACCGGAUCAAUCACCGCCCCCGUGAUGAUCCAUUGAUUGGGAGUAUUUAGGAAUUAACCACCAAUAACACAUGUCUCAAAUUCUCAACUCUUGAGAAUAUAUGUCAUCAUCUUAUUAAUUCCUUGGACGAUUCACGGACACAUACACAACAUGAAUAGAAAUAAAAAUUCAAAUUUAUUUAUAAUAUUUUAAAGUCAAAUACAAAUUUAUGUCCUAGAAAGAAUACAUGUGUCAACCUGGUUGACUUCUAGGGCAUACAUCUAACAAUCUCCCACUUGUACUAAAGCCAAUCAGCCAUAUACUGUAAUAUACUGAACUUCUAAAAUAUUGAAGUUACGGUGUACAUUUGGUUGAAAAGCCAUUUGAAUGGUCCCGGUGAAGUUCGGUGAAGUUCUGGAGCAAUCGGGCGUUUCGAUGCGCGUAGGUGCGAAAACGGAACCCGAAAGGUUAUGUUGGACCAUGAGCUAAAUCCAGCAUUAACGUGGAUGAAACGAUGAUGAAAAUACGCUCGAAAACAUGUUUGGAGAGUCUCGGUUCGAUUUGAAACGAAUCGGAUGUCAAACGAGCGAAAACGAGCGAAAACGGUGAAAAAAAGUUGAAAAUUUGGCUAAGUCCUAAAUGCUGGAAUUCUGGACCCUACGGGGACCGGUCCCUCAAGUCCAAGGACCGGUCCCUGAGCCCGAAAAAUGCCCAGAAUGAGCAGUGGCAGUUUGGUAAUUAGGGGAAAGUUGGCAUAUAUGAAGGGCUUUGCCCCUACUCCUUCUUCCUCCUCAUUCCAACACACACACACACAUAUACUGGUAGAGAGAGAUGCUCUCUCCUCUCUCUCUAGGAGCUCUCCCUCUCUCUCUAAGAGUGGAUUUAGGAGAAGAAGGUCGAGAUUGGAGCUUGGAGAAGGACCAACAUCAUCUUCUUCAUCUUCUUGCUAGCUAGUUGAGGUAAGCUCUUUGAGUCUCUCAUGGUAAAUGGCUAGAGCAUGGCUUAGACCUCUUUGAACUUAGCUAGAUGAUGUUUAUUGGUGCUCUAAGAGUAGUUGAUCUCAUUUAUUGUGAGAUUAGUAGCUUGUAUGAAGCUAAUUGCAACAAUGGUGAUUUAGGGCUCCAAAAAGAGGGCUUUUGCUUGUGAGGGGUUUUGAUCUCAAUUGACCCUAUACAAACCUAAUUGGGGGUAUGACGAACGCGUUGGUGCACUCGGUUCGACAAUCUGACCAGUGUACGAGAAGUUAUUGACGAAACAGUCUGUUUUGGUACAGAGAGUCGCAGCACGCGGGAUAAGCCUCCAAAAAUCAUGAAAAUGGAUCGAGAGCAUUGUGGCGUCGGGGAAUAAACUCCCGAACAGACGGAUCACGGAUUGGUGGCCGUUCGGGUGGUCGCACAAAAGUUCGGGCCAAACCGGGUCACCGGUGCCGCGGGAGACCGAUUGCAAGUGACUACAAGCAAUUGGAACGCGGUAAAAGGUGUGUUGUGCUUACCGAAGCGACUAGGUCGCCUUCAUGCCAAAGUAUAAUGUAUUUCACUUUUGAUGCAUGGUGGUGAUAAGAAUGCUAUAUAAGAAUGCAUGAUAAGAAUGCUAUGUAAGAAUGCAUGAUAAGAAUGCUAUGUAAGAAUGCAUGAUAAGACUGCUAAGAAAUGAAUGCAUGUGAUAGAUGUUAAGUAAUGCAUGUAAUAUGUGCCAAGUAACGAAUCAUAUGAGAUGUAUGCUAAAGAAUGCAUGUUGACAUAUUAUAGAAAUGCUAGAUGAAGCAUGUGUUAAAUGUUAAAGGCAUGUAUGAGAUGUAUGUUAAAUAAACAUAUGAGCUAGAUGAUGUAUAAAUGCAUGAUUUCAUAAUGUAAGAAUAUGUUAGAAUGAUAUGAGGGUUGAACUUGAGUCAAUGAACACUAAGUAAAGUAAAGAACUCGACAAGUGUCAUAUGUAAAGAAUCCUAAGUAUAAAUAACUAGGAUGACGAGUGGCAUUGAACCUAGUGUCAUUGAACAUAGGUUAUUCACGAGUGGCAUGUCAAGUAUGGUUCCUAGGUGUGGACAACUAGGAUAACAAGAACAUGAGUGGCAUUAAACCUAGAGUCAAGUAAACCUAGGUUGUGAAUGUAGUGACAUGAAACCUAGAGUCAAGUGAACCUAGGUGAUUAAGAAUAUUGAACCUAGUGUUAAUGAACCUAGGCUAAGAAGGUAAUGACAUUGAACCUAAUGUAUUAACUUAGGUUGAGUAAAGGCUUGGACCUAGAUAGGUCGAUAACAUAGGGUGAGACCAACCCUCGAGUAAUGUGAAGUGGAUUCCGGAAUCCCUGCUGCUAGUGCAGCGGCUGCUAGUGCAGCAUACAAGCUCGAUAGUUCUUGGCCGCGGGUGCAUGUGGCAUGUUCCUCUCCCACCGGAAGAACUUCGAGGCUUGUUAAUGAGCAAGAACAAUGAGCGCUAGGGUGCAUGUGGCAUGUUCCUCUCCCUAUCGGGGAUCUCGGCUGCGGGUGUAUGCGGCAUGUUCCUCUCCCAUCGGGGGAUCCCUGACCACGGGUAUACGCAGCUCUGGGCGACCCGUUGGGCGAUGUGGUUUGUGGAUUGAUGGCUGAGGUGCAUGUGAUAGUCCCUUCAUCUCGAGCCUGACAGAGCGCGGAUUAUCCGCAUAUGAUUGACUCAAGACCGAGUCGGGCGGCAAAGUUGGCUAAGGUAAAGAAACUUUAGGAAAGAAUGGCAAUGUGUAUAAUAUGGCUAAGGUGUGAGUACCCUUAGAAUAAAGAAUAAAUAAAAAAAAAGGGCUAACGCUAAAGAAUGGCAAGUAAUAAAGAAUAAAGAAAGACAAAUGCUAAAGAAUAGCUAGUAAAAUAAAGAAUGACUAAAAGUAAAGAAUGGAUAAGAAUAAAGUGUAAAAGCAAUUAAUCUACUAUAUGAGUUGCAUAAUUUACAUAUUGCAUGUUGUGAGGCAAAAGCAUGGUAAUGUUAGUUGCAUGAUUUACGAUUUCAUAUCUAUCUAUUGGACUAACAUGUUGUCUGCCUCCUUUGGACCUGACGGUCGAGCUCUUCCCUUGGGUGGCCGUACCCACUGGGAACCAUGGAGUUGGUUCUCACCCCACGUUGUUUUGGGGUGUUACAGGUUCACACGUGAGCGGCGUGGCGGCGCGAGGCAAAGGCGUAGCUCCGUAGUUAGCGCCCUAGCACUGAGACCAGAUAGCAGCACCCUGAGUCGACUUCUUAGGGGUAUAAAUUGCAAAGAACCAAGAGUAUGAUGAUUGUAAGAACAAUGUUGUAAUGACUAUAUUAAAACUAAAUUAUAUUUGGAAGUAAGAAUCAAGGAAUCAAAUAUGAUGUAAUCUAAGAAUGCAAAAUGUAAUAUGUGAGAUGAAUGCUUGUAAUAGCAAGUAGAUUUAUGUUUUUGAUACUUCCUUAUGCAAUCCUUGGUUGAAAUGUGUUCCUGGUUGGAACUUCGUAUAUUGUAUUGAUUGCGACGCCUUGAAUGUACAGGGGAGACUCUGUCCGCGGUACAGGGAAAAUCCUGUCCGUUCGGCGGUCUGUUGGCGUGUCCGAAACGGACCAAAUAGUCGGGCUCGGGGCGUGACAGAUAAGAUGGUAUCAGAGCAUAAAAAGAACAUAGAAAGAACAUAAAAAGAACAUAAAAGAGUAUAAAGAAAAUAGUUUAGCUUGACCUAAGGAUAGUAAACCAUAGGAUAUUAAGGCUUGUGUGAGACGAGGACUUGUGACUUGUGGUGAAAGGAUAAUGGAUUGGGUUACGUCGUAAACCUCUAAAAGGGAGAUUAGAGGUAGAUUCAAGGUGUGGUUUAUUCUCAACCAAGUGUGUUCAUGUUGGGCGUACGACAACAUGAAACCGAGUGAUGAGGAUAGAUGCCCUUGUAUGACUUUCGCCCGAUUUGAGUCAAUAUUAAAUGUUUCAUACUCGACCUCGAAGGUUGAGAAUUAAUCGAGUUGUCAUGUUUUAGGGAACGAUGGCACCGCGUAGACGAUCAUCGGCUAGAUCGACGCAGGAUGGGGCAAGUGAUGUCCCUGAGCAACCCAGAGCAAGUGGAGACUCGGAGCUCCGCGCACAGUUGGGAAUGUUGGUGGGCAUAGUGCAGCGUCAGCAGGAGGCUGCCAUGCGCCAGGAAGAACGGAUCAAGAGACUUCAGAAGACCGUGGAGCAGCUAGUUGCUGCGCCAGUUGCAGCUCGUCGAGGACUGGCAGGGCUUGCCGCAGAGAUGGUUCCGUCGGGGUCGGGCGAUCCAACUCCCGAAAGUGCAUUGGCGGAGGCGGAGAAAGAGCGGGCUAUGGCAGCCCUCAUGACCUUCGUAAAGUUUGAUCCGCCUACCUUCGAUGGAGAGAAUGUUGAUCCCUGGAUUGUGGAUAUGUGGAUUGACUCUAUGGAGACGCUCUUUGAGGAGCUGUACAUAUUGGAGCGGGACAAGGUGCCCCUAGCUAUGCAUUGCUUGAAGCGAUUGGCGGCCCUCAUGACCUUCGUAAAGUUUGAUCCGCCUACCUUCGAUGGAGAGAAUGUUGAUCCCUGGAUUGUGGAUAUGUGGAUUGACUCUAUGGAGACGCUCUUUGAGGAGCUGUACAUAUUGGAGCGGGACAAGGUGCCCCUAGCUAUGCAUUGCUUGAAGCGAUUGGCGAAGGUGUGGUGGAAAGGCAUUCGGCGGAAUCGAUCGCCUAGUCUUCCUCCCAUGACUUGGGAAGAGUUUCGGGGAUUGUUAUUUUCUACGUAGUUCCCCGAUAGUGAAAAGAGAAAGCUUCAGGACAAGUUCAGGAAGCUGCGGCAAGGAGACCGCUCGUUGCGUCCCGGAUGUGGUACGGGAUGACAAGGAUAUGGCCGAUUGGUUCUUACGUGGACUUCGACCAGAUAUUUACGAGAAGGUGCAAAUCCUCAAGCUCACAACCUUCGCGGAGGUGUUAGACCGAGCCUUGUGGGCGAGCAUGGCGAGGCUUUCGUGCAUGAGGAGCGCGAGUCUCAUAAGCAUGAGCGGGGAGGGGUGAGGCCACUGUCGAACAGUUCGGGUAGGCAGUCAAGUUCUAGGCGCCACUCGAAGCCGUCCUCUACUCGAUCCUCCCUAGGUUGUGUGAUUUGUGGUGGUACCCACCAGGCGCGGCGGUGUGCGUUGCGUGAUGGAAGAUGUAUCCGUUGUGGGCAGCCAGGCCAUAUGCGGGACCAGUGUCCGCAAGGUGAUAGCCGAGCCUUGGCAUUGGCGACGGCUUUUUCCUCUCCGGGACAGCCGGCGGGUGUGCCACCUGCGGCACGAUCGGGAGAGCGAGCGAUGACGGUGAUGCAACUGAGGGGUCCGCGGCGGGCGCCAAGUGGCUAUGGACACGCGACCCAGGUUGAGGGACCUACUGCUGACGGCGUCAUGGCAGGUAUGGUUUAGUUAAUGCAGUUAUGUGUUUCUGCAUGAUGUAAAGUGGUGCAUUGCAUGCAUUGAGCAUAUAGUCACUUACUACUAUAUGUAGUAGUAUAGUAGGGACCAAGUGGACGGGUAAAUGUAGAUACCCGGGCAUGCUCGUGUUGUGAGAGCGUAGUACCUACUAGUGCAGGUAGCGAGCUAUGUAGCACUAGCGAGUUGCUAGUGAUGGUCUGAUGAUGAGACUCGUAGUAGAGAUGGAAAUGAUGGACCGACUCGCAAAGCAAUGUGUGUAGCAGAUUGUGUGAGUUGAGUUACGAUGCUGGUGGAUACUCGAGCAGUUCGAGUAUUCCAGAUGUUGUUUCGGUAGAUCGAACAGUGAAAGUGAAUCACUGUUGAGUGAGUGGUUAGUUAGUACCCAAGUUUGGCCUGUGGGCCUAGUUGUACCUCAAUGUGAGGUAGGAGAAUGUGCUUGGUAGACGAUGUGCGGCGGCAAGAUUGUCCAAAGCCGAGACUUAGUGUAGAAUGCCAUCGUAGAGUACGACGCCCGAGUACAGGUACUCGCGGAGUGCGAAUAUGGAUCAGCCGAGUGAGUUUGUUGGCAGUAGCACUUGGGCAUUGCGAAGUGUGAAGCGUGCCUUGUGUAACAUAUGGCAUCCUGGAGCUGCGAUGUAAACUUUGAUCUAUUGGAUCAAAGUGAGAAUUGAGCUGGUUGGACGUCAUCCCCGAGUGACUUUGGACGCGUGAGAAUGAAUUCCGAUGAUAAGUAAGUGUUUCGGCGCAAAGUGGGCGCGAAACNGGUAUACCAUUUGGGUUCAUGUAUCAUCUAUUUCGAUGUACAGAGACAUGUAAAUGAAUGUAUUAUAAAGCAUGUAACUAGCUAAAUGUUUCAGUUAUACAGUUCAGUUUGAAAGUUUUAAGUUACAGUGAAUUUCAUUGUACAGUUAGUUUACUAUCACUUGUGUUUGUUGCUUGCCUUCGUGCAAGCCAUGUAUAUUGAAAUGUGAUCCUGGGAAUUAUUUAUUUCUUUAUACAUGUACUCGUUGUUGUUGAGCCUUGGGCGAACAGGGGAGGUGCUGUUCGUUCGGCGUCUGUGCGCGGGCCCAGAUCGACCAAAUUGGCGACCGCGGGACGUGACACCUUGGAUCACUCGUGGGGCUGGUGGCUCACACUAGGUGCAUAGGAGCCGAUAGUGGUACGUAUUGCUCGAUAGAGCAUGUAGUGCGAUUGACAGUAUGCUGAGAGUACGAAUUGUGACCCAACCCGAGAAUUUAAUGCUCUUUGGGGUCUUGGUUGCUCCUGGUUGGAGUGUGUGCGAAUUUCCAAGUGAGAAUUUCGCCCCAAUUAUGAUUGGGUCUACGCUUGCGAGCGAGAGGCGCUGCGCAUACGUUAAGACAGGUUUAGGCGGUAGGCCUAUGUAGUAUUGGUGGCCCUUGGUCUACCAAGGAAAAUCGAGGAAAGUGAUUUGGCGAGUAGCCUUAUCGGGGAGUUUGACUUGAGUUCACGAACGACGUGUUCAUGUGAGUCGUUGUGAAAGUGGUAUGAUGUUGACCGUGGCAUAUGGUAUUAGGUAAUGAGGUGCUCCUGGUGAGGCCUUGAGCUAAUGGCCAGCCACGUAGAGUUCGAGAAUUGGAAUUGGGAUGCGCCGAGGUGGGCCAUCUCACGUCAAAGUUAAAGGUUAGUGCGGAAUUAGAGCACUUACGAUGAAGCGAUGCACCGAUGAUAUUGCUUUUAGGCAAUGUCGGUGAUUGAUUUGGAACGCAUUCCCUGAAGGGAAAGUAAAUGCAAAGAAGGUUUCUUGCAUGCCAAGUGACAAGUGGGGUUGGAGCGCAUAGAGUCGUCGAGUUUCGACUUGCGUUACCACCUAGAGUGACGGAGACCGUAAUGCACUUUGUGAGAUGUGCCUUGCAAAGUUGGAUGCGUUUGGUGUUAUGAACUUCGUAGUAGUCCUCUUGGAUAGUUCCAAAAAGUGUAAAGCCAUUCCGAAGUGAAAAAGUGCUUUGGUGCCCUCAAUUGCUCGAGGAGCUAAAUUGAGGUGUGUUUUGAAUUUCGCGGACGAAAUUCUUUUAAAGGAGGGGAGAAUGUAACAUACCGAACAUCUAAAACUUUGAAGUUACGGUGUACAUUUGGUUGAAAAGCCAUUUGCAUGGUUCCGGUGAAGUUCGGUGAAGUUCUAGAGAAAUCGGGCGUUUCGGUGCGCGUAGGUGCGAAAACGGAACCCGAAAGGUUAUGUUGGACCAUGAGCUAAAUUCGGCAUUAGCGUGGAUGAAAAGAUGAUGAAAAUACGCUCGAAAACAUGUUUGGAGAGUCUCGGUUUGAUUUGAAAUGAAUCGGAUGUCAAACGAGCGAAAACGAGCGAAAACGGAGCGAAAACGGUGAAAAAAAGCUGAAAAUUUGGCUAAGUCCUAAAUGCUAGAAUUCUGGACCCUACGGGAAUCGGUCCCUUAAGUCCAAGGACCCGUCCCUGAGCCCGAAAAAUGCCCAGAAUAAGUAGUGGCAGGUUGGUAAUUAGGGGGAAGUUGGCAUAUAUGAAGGGCUUUGCCCCAACUCCUUCUUCCUCCUCAUUCCAACACACACACACACACACAUAUUGGUAGAGAGAGAUGCUCUCUCCUCUCUCUCUAGGAGCUCUCCCUCUUUCUCUCUAAGAGUGGAUUUAGGAGGAGAAGGUGGAGAUUGGAGCUUGGAGAAGGACCAACAUCAUCUUCUUCAUCUUCUUACUAGCUAGUUGAGGUAAGCUCUUUGAGUCUCUCAUGGUGAAUGGCUAGAGCAUGGCUUAGACCUCUUUGAACUUAGCUAGAUGAUGUUUAUUGGUGCUCUAAGAGUAGUUGAUCUCAUUUAUUGUGAGAUUAGUAGCUUGUAUGAAGCUAAUUGCAACAAUGGUGAUUUUGGGCUCCAAAAAGAGGGCUUUUGCAUGUAAGGGCUUUUGAUCUCAAUUGACCCUAUACAAACCUAAUUAGGGGUAUGACGAACGCGUUGGUGCGCUCGGUUCGACAAUCCGAUGAGUGUACGCGAAGUUAUUGACGAAACAGUUUGUUUUGGUAUAGAUAGCCGCAGCACGCGGGAUAAGCCUCCAAAAAUCAUGAAAAUGGAUUGGGAGCAUCGUGGUGUCGGGGAAUAAACUCCCGAACAGACGGAUCACGGAUUGGUGGUCGUUCGGGUGGUCGCACAAGAGUUCGGGCCAAACCGGUUCACGGGUGCCGCGGGAAGCCGAUUACAAGUGACUACAAGCAAUCGGAACGCGUUAAAAGGUUGGUUGUGCUUACCGAAGCGACUAGGUCGCCUUCAUGCCAAAGUAUAAUGUAUUUCACUAUUGAUGCAUGGUGGUAAUAAGAAUGCUAUGUAAGAAUGCAUGAUAAGAAUGCUAUGUAAGAAUGCAUGAUAAGAAUGCUAAGAAAUGAAUGCAUGAUAAGAAUGCUAAGAAAUGAAUGCAUGUGAUAGAUGUUAAGUAAUACAUGUAAUAUGUGCCAAGUAACGAAUCAUAUGAGAUGUAUGCUAAAGAAUGUAUGUUGACAUAUUAUAGAAAUGCUAGAUGAAGCAAGAGUUAAAUGUUAAAGGCAUGUAUGAGAUGUAUGUUAAAUAAACAUAUGAGCUAGAUGAUGUAUAAAUGCAUGAUUUCAUAAUGUAAGAAUAUGUUAGAAUGAUAUGAGGGUUGAACUUGAGUUAAUGAAUACUAAGUAAAGUAAAGAACUCGACAUGUGUCAUAUGUAAAGAAUCCUAAGUAUAAAUAACUAGGAUGACGAGUGGCAUUGAACCUAGUGUCAUUGAACAUAGGUUAUUCACGAGUGGCAUGUCAAGUAUGGUUCCUAGGUGUGGACAACUAGGAUAACAAGAACAUGAGUGGCAUUAAACCUAGAGUCAAGUAAACCUAGGUUGUGAAUGUAGUGACAUGAAACCUAGAGUCAAGUGAACCUAGGUGAUUAAGAAUAUUGAACCUAGUGUUAAUGAACCUAGGCUAAGAAGGUAAUGACAUUGAACCUAAUGUAUUAACUUAGGUUGAGUAAAGGCUUGGACCUAGAUAGGUCGAUAACAUAGGGUUGAGACCGACCCUUGAGUUAUGUAAAGUGAAUUCCGGAAUCCCUGCUGCGAGUGCAGCGGCUGCUAGUGCAACAUACAAGCUCGAUAGUUCUUGGCCGCGGGUGCAUGUGGCAUGUUCCUCUCCCACCGGAAGAACUUCGAGGCUUGUUAUUGAGCAAGAAUCAUGAGUGCUAGGGUGCAUGUGGCAUGUUCCUCUCCCUAUCGGGGAUCUUGACUGCGGGUGUAUGCGGCAUGUUCCUCUCCCACCGGGGGAUCCCUGACCACGGGUAUACGCAGCUCUGGGCGACCCGUUGGGCGAUGUGGUUUGUGGAUUGAUGGCUGAGGUGCAUGUGAUAGUUCCUUCAUCUCGAGCCUGAUAGAGCGCGGAUUAUCCGCAUAUGAUUGACUCAAGACCGAGUCGGGCGGCAAAGUUGUCUAAGGUAAAGUAACCUUAGGAAAGAAUGGCAAUAUGUAUAAUAUGGCUAAGGUGUGAGUACCCUUAGAAUAAAGAAUAAAUAAAAAAAAAGGGCUAACGCUAAAGAAUGGCAAGUAAUAAAGAAUAAAGAAAGGCAAAUGCUAAAGAAUAGCUAGUAAAGUAAAGAAUGACUAAAAAUAAAGAAUGGAUAAGAAUAAAAUGUAGAAGCAAUUAAUCUACUAUAUGAGUUGCAUAAUUUACAUAUUGCAUGUUGUGAGGUAAAAGUAUGGUAAUGUUAGUUGCAUGAUUUACGAUUUCAUAUCUAUUUAUUGGACUAACAUGUUGUUUGCUCUCCUUUGGAGCUUACUUGUCAGGUAAGCUUUGAUGGUCUUUGGUGGUCGUUCUUUGUAGUUUGGAUUUUAAGCUUCAAGAAUGGAGUUGGUUCUCACCCCACGUUGUUUUGGGGUGUUACAGGUUCACACGUGAGCGGCGUGGCGGCGCGAGGCAAGGGCGUAGCUCCGUAGUUAGCGCCCUACCACUGAGACCAGAUAGCAGCACCCUGAGUCGACUUCUUAGGGGUAUAAAAUGCAAAGAACCAAGAGUAUGAUGAUUGUAAGAACAAUGUUGUAAUGACUAUGUUAAAACUAAAUUGUAUUUGGAAGUAAAAAUCAAGGAAUCAAAUGUGAUGUAAUCUAAGAAUGCAAAAAUAUAAUAUGUGAGAUGAAUGCUUGUAAUAGCAAGUAGAUUUAUGUUUUUGAUACUUCCUUAUGCAAUCCUUGGUUGAAAUCUGUUCCUGGUUGGAACUUCGUAUAUUGUAUUGAUUGCGACGCCUUGAAUGUACAGGGGAGACUCUGUCCGCGGUACAGGGGAAACCCUGUCCGUUCGCCGGUCUAUUGGCGUGCCCGAAACCGACCAAAUAGGCGGGCUCGGGGCGUGACAUAUACCUAAGGCCCAUCUUCUCAAGGUGGACUUCAGUCUUCUGCUGGCUAAGUGGUUUAGUCAAUGGGUCUGCCAUGUUAUCCGUGGAGUCUACUCUCUACAUCUUGAUAUAUUUCUGUCGAGGUAGUCGCGUAUAAUAUGUAACCGCCGCUCUAUAUGCAUGAACUUCUGAUGAGACCUUGGCUCCUUAGCUAGGGCUAUUGCAUAGUUGUCACAAUAGAGUGGUAUAGCAUCUGAUGACAUCACACUUAAUUCCGCGACAAACUUCUUGAAUCAGAAGGCCUACAUUAAAUGCGGCAAUAUACUCAGCUUUCAUGGUAGGGUGGUUGUUUGGAACUAUUCUAAUACACCAAGCCACUAUAGCAUAAGAACACACAUCCUGACGUAGACUUUCUAUCGUGAACAUCAGACAUGAAGUCUGAAUCAGUAUAUCCUUAUAUUUUCAACUCUCCUCCUCCAAAGACCAAGAACAUAUCCUUAGUCCUUCUUAAGUACUUGAGUAUGUUCUUGACAGCAGUCCAGUGCUCCUCUCCUGGAUUAGAUUGAUAUCUACUUGUGACACUCACAGCAAGAGCGAUAUCAAGUCGUGUACAUAGCAUGGCGUACAUAAGACUCCCUAUUGCUGAGGCAUAAGGGAUCUUACUCAUACGUUGAAUCUCUUCAAAUGUAUUGGGGUAUAUUUUCUUAGAAAGAUAAAUUCCAUGUCUAAGAAGUAAGUCCCCUUUUGGAGUUUUCCAUGCCAAACUUUUUCAGCACCUUUUCUAUGUACAUUUUCUGUGAGAGGCCUAGCAUCCUUUUAGAUCUAUCUCUAUUGACCUUUAUCCCCAAAAUAUAGGAUGCUUCUCCUAGAUCUUUCAUGGAGAAUUCUUUAGACAAUCAUAUUUUAAUUGAAGUCAGCAUUGGAAUGUCAUUCCCAAUUAGGAGAAUGUCAUCCACGUACAAUACGAUGAAUAUGACAGCUCUCCCACUGACCUUCUUAUAAACACAUGGUUCCUCCUCAUUCUUAACGAAAUCAAACGAUUUAAUCACGUUGUUAAAACGAGUAUUCCAAGUCCUAGAUGCUUGCUUAAGUCCAUAAAUGGAUCGUUGCAACUUGCAUACUUUGUGACUUUCGUCACCGGAAGUAAAACCCAGAGACUGCUCCAUAUAGAUAUCUUCUUCAAGAUAUCCAUUUAGGAAGGCAGUUUUCACAUCCAUUUGCCAGAUCUCAUAAUCAUAGUAUGCUGCAAGGGCAAGCAGUGUUCGAAUUGAUUUAAGCAUGGCCACAGGUGAAAAGGUCUCUUGAUAGUCAAUGCCUUCGCGUUGACUAUAAGCUUUCGCAACCAGCCUUGAUUUAUAGGUCUCCAUAUUUUCAUCCGAACAUAUCUUUCUUUUGUAGAUCUAUUUACACCCGAUAGGUACUAUGCCUUCUGGUGGGUCUACCAAAAUCCAAACCUGGUUGGAGUGCAUUGAGUCAAUUUCUGACUUCAUGGCAUCCAGCCAUUUCUCGGAAUCGAUGUCAGACAUCGCCUCUUUGUAGGUUUUGGGAUCAUCACCAUGUUCCCUAUCUCCCAUGAGGAACAUUUCCUCUACAUCCUCUGUAACGAUACCUAAAUAUCGUUUAGUAGGAUGGGAGAUUCUACUCGACCUACGAGGUAGAGGAGGUACUACAUGUACUGGAUCAACUUGAAUAGGUUCUGUAGGUUUGAGGACUCGUUGCUCUUCAGAGACUCUCUCUUCAAGCUUAAUUUUUCUCCCACUAGCUUCUUCUUGAAUAAACUGUUUUUUCAAGAAAAUAGCAUGUUUGCUUACAACAACAUUGUGAUUCUCUGGGAUAUAAAAAUAGUAAUCUAAAGAUUCUUUAGGAUAUCCAAUAAAACGAGCCCUCUCAGACCUAGCCUCUAACUUGUCCACUUGUAGUCGCUUAACAUAGGCCGGACAUCCCCAAAUCUUGAUAUGACCAAGGCUUGGUUUCUUACCAUGCCACAUCUCAAACGGCGUGGUAGGAACGGAUUUAGAGGAAACUCUAUUUAACAAGUAAGCUGCGAUAAGCAAAGCAUGUCCCCAAAGCAAUAAAGGAAGAUCAGUGAAGCUCAUCAUAGAUCGAACCAUAUCCAAUAAGGUUCAGUUUCUCCGUUCUGACACCCCGUUGAGUUGAGGUGUUCUUGGAGGGGUCCAUUGUGAGACUAUGCCGUUUUCUUUGAGAUAAUUUAGAAACUCUCCACUAAAAUAUUCUCCUCUUCGAUCUGAUCGAAGAACCUUGAUGGAUUUUUCAGUUUGCUUUUCUACUUCAUAUCUGAAUUCUUUGAACUUUUCAAAAGUCUCAGAUUUGUGUUUCAUAAGAUACACAUACCCAUACCGUGAAUAAUCAUCGGUAAAGGUUAUGAAGUAGAGAUAACCACCCCUAACAUGCACAUCAAAUGGCCCACACACGUCAGUAUGUACCAGAAAAAGUAUCUCAGUGGCCCUUACACCUUGUCCUACAAUGGGUAAUUUAGUCAAUUUUUCUUGAAGAUAAGAUUCACAAACUAGAUAAGACUCUGAAGUUAAUAAGCCGAAAAGCCCAUCUUUAUCCAAUUUAUUUAUCCUUUCUUCUCCAAUAUGACCAAGCCUGAGGUGGCACAUAUACUUUAAGUUCAUCUCAUUUCUAGGUCUUUUAGACCCAACAGCAUUCACUACUUGCUCAGAAAUAUUUACAGAUACAUCCAUAUGUAAAUGAUAGAGACUGUCAAUCAUAAAACCACGGGCAAUAAUUUUAUUUCUAAAAUAAAUUAUGCAGUAGUUUUUGUCAAAAAUAAACCAUCCUGUGCAGAAAUCAAAUUUCUGUUAGCAGGAGGUACAUAAUAGCAGUCUUUAAGUAAUAAAACAUAUCCUGACGGUAGUCGCAAUGGAUAGGUGCCAGCAGCCACAGCAGCAACUCUUGCUCUGUUGCCUACCCGUAGGGUCACUUCACCUUCCCUAAGCCCUCUACUUUCCCUUACUGGAAGUAGAGGAAACCGUAAGGUUAGUUUCUAUUACGAGCAAGUCUGAUAUACCUUCCGAAGGUGUGUCUUCCUCUUAUUCUUCAAGCUCUCCAAGUAGACAGGAUAGUUCCUCUUCCAAUGACUGUCAACAUUGCAGUGGAAACAUUUUCCUCUGUUAGCGGCUUUUGUCUUAGGAGCUUUUCUCUUGGACUUGUUCUCCGUCUUUUAUUUCUUUGCGGGUUUUUUUUUCCAAUUAGAUGUUCUUUUGGAAGAGGAAGCCCACUCCACAGCGAGAACCGUGCCCUUUGAACUUUUCAAAGUCCUCUCUAUUAUUAUCAACAUGUUCAAUAACUCCGCAUUAGUGCAGUCAAUUUUAUUCAUAUGGUAGUUUACAAUAAACUGUCCAUACGAUACAGGAAGGGAUUGCAGGAUCAGAUCAACUUGCAAUUCCAUAUCCAUUUUCACACCGAGCUUCUCAAGCUCUUCGAGGUCUUUGAUCAUUGUCAAACAACGAAAAGACUGCCCUUUGGCUAGUUAUUGGACGGUUUGGUAAUAUGAGGUUUUCCUGGUCGAGAACAAUGCAGAGCUUCUUGGAAUUUAAAACUAUUUUAAAUUCCUUAGCCAGACUUUAUAAUUACAUUCAGUUAAGGUUUGGUGUCGAGAAGAUGAGAGAGAUAAUUGGAAGCAGAUAUUUGCUUUGCAAAGAGUAAAGAUUCAAGUUAGAUAUUUGUAUUUGUUUUGAAAAUUUAUUUUAGGAAUUUUAAAAAUAAAUUUAGCCUCCCACUAUUUUCUCGAGUCUCUUACACUCCUCGGGUAGAGAAAUGGAAACCCAACGCGACAAAAGGUUUCAAGUGGGUACUGCGGUCCCACCAAUUUAACGUACCACCACACCUAACAAUUAUUGGUGAUAUGUAAACCGAUGAGUGGACAACUCUUGUCCAAUGCUUCUCAAGAAAAUUGCAGUGAUCGCUCUCUAAGUCCUGUAGGCCCCACCUAACAGUUAUUGACCCCAUUCCUUAGUUAAGUCAGGCCUACCGUUCAAACAUGUAAGCAAAGCCGUCAUUGGGUCCCUCACCGGACAGUUAUUGGGCCCAACCCCAUCUUUACUCCGUAGCAUCUCCUGCUAAUAGAGUGGUUGCGCCUUCCCGAUGCAACUGACCACUGUAACCAGCCGUGCCAAUCAACACCAGAAAAACGCUCGCACUUCUACAACGGCAGAAGACCGCUCGGUUUAAUAUUUGUGUGGAGAUUAAUAUUUAGGUCUCAAAAAAUAUUUUAUUUAUUUACAUCUAAUGCAAAUAAAAAAACAAUCCGCGCAUAAAAAUAAUUAAACUGGUGAUGAUCAUGGAUCUUAGAAGUGGAUUCGGACUCGAGCCACUGAGUCGGAAUCGGGGUCUUAGGGUCAUAAAUUACAAGCACACACACGUCAUCGGUUUGAUCAUCUUCAACUUCUUGAUCCGAUCUGGAGCUUCAACUUGAUUUGAUCCUUAUCAACACCUUGAUCCGACCGCCAUCAAGUAUUCGUCUCUAUCCGGGCCUUGCGAACUUUUAGGCUUGCAACCGAUCAACCAAUGACGUGCAACCAUACAUUAUACAACCCAACAAUACAAAUGAAAUGAAAAUUAAUUACAUUUGAUAACUUUUAUCUCUAAUCUAUUGAGACACGCAGAUAUCCAAAUAAAUCGGCUUGUGCACGCAGACACAAAUAUAGCCAUCUCUAAUACAAAAUUCUUAAUUUAAACAAAUUUAAAAUUACAGGAUUCUGCAUACAUAUCAUACAUCACAUGUCGAAAUAUAAAUAGGUCGCUAUCCAUGAUCAUCACCGAUAUGUAUCUCAUACAUCACAUAUAUAAAAAAUAACUUUGGGUAUUCUAAUUAACCGUUCAACGAUAAUUCGAAAAAUAGUGUCUAAAUUAUUAAAAGCAAUCAAUCUUAUUGACCGUUCAUAAUUUUGAUCAACAACUUAAUCUUCAAAAAUAACAACUUGAUCUUAUCAAGAUUUGAUCUAAUCAAAUUAGAUCUUUCUCUUCCUUAAUAAUAUGUUAAUAUCUUUUAAAUUGAUCUAAUCAAUUUAAAAAUUUAAAAUUUUUUAAAAAAAAUAAAAAAAAAAUGUCAUUUGUUUCCGUACGGAUGCUACAGUAAAUAUUUUUUUUUUUUGCUAGAAAAUAAGAAAUCAUCGAUUAAGUUGUUUAAUCAAUUCGGACUUUUCGAAUUAGCCAAAAACGAUCUAUAAAUCGCUCUACCGGCGAAAAAUAGUUUAAAAUACCCAAAACUAUAAUUUUAAUCUUAAAAACAUGAGGAUGGCUCUGAUACCACUGUUAGAAAAUUGCGUACAGUAAAACGCAGCGAAAAAAGAGACAAAUUUGAUUUUGAAAACUCUCGAGAUCCAAUCUCAAAAACCACACAAUUUGGAUCCCUCAUAUUCUUUAAGAUUAAAGAAGAAAAGUAAGAUCGAAUCUUUAUCUUUUUCGCGGAUAGAUCUUCACCUGAAUUUAAUGAUCGUGGAAUUCGGUUCUCUUGAAGCCGCACACGCGUCCGGCCACCAUAGAUAUCCACACGAGGUUCUUGAUUUGAUAGAUGUCCUCACCGGGGUGCUAGCAGUAGUACACUGGACCUUUGCAAAUUGCGAGGUUCGAGUGUUCGAGCUGUGUUCUGAGUCCUUCCAAACUUUCUGGUGGGUCGUUGACAGUGCUCCGACCUAUGGCUCGUAUCCCGAGAAUUGUGGUUUAAAGCUGUGUACCAAAACCCGAAAAAAGGGGAUUUGGCGAACUCUCGGGUAGCAAUCUGGAGGUCUUGUACCGGUAUAAGAUUGGUGGUUGUACCGGUACAAGGUUGAUGGUUGUACCGGAACAGCCACCGGGCUUGUACCGGUACAGAGCCGUUGAACCCCGCCAACCCGAGCCUCGGGUUUGUGAUUUUCGUGGGGCUUGUACCGGUACAAGGGCCCGUGUACCGGUACAAGGUGGCAGAAUUUGAGCAGUUUGAACUGCAGGGGUGUUUUUGCGAUUGUGGGUCUCUUAUAUCAACAUCCACGCCCCUAGGGCUCUCCUUUGAGCUCACCACUGCAGGGAGAAAGGUAAGGCACCUCUCCCCUUCACCCCCUUUGGAUUUGAUCUUUUUUUAGCUUGGGAUUUAAGUGUUAAUCCCUCUCCUUUUCCUUUUGGUGCAAUUUCACCAUUGUUGAAGCUUGGAGCUUAGAUUUGGAGCUUUGUUGAGGGGAGAUCUUGGCAUUUAGAGAGUUUAGAGUUUGGAUUGAAGCUUCUAAGAGGUAAUCUACUUGUCCUCUCCCUCUAGAUUGGAUUUUUAUUGGUGGUUUUGAGAUGAAACCCUAGAAUGAGGUUUUAGGGCUUAUUUUGGGCAUUUUGAAUCUAGGACUUUUGGAGCUAAAUUAAUUGGAUUAGAAUCUACCUUUGGGUUGGAUCGAAAGGAUUCUAGCUCUCUUUAGGAGCUUGAGGGAGAUUUUUUACACAUUAGGUGAGUUUUAGCCCUUUUGUCUUGUUGGUUAAUGUUUGAUUUUAUAGUUGAUCGUAAUGCCCGUGUAUCUCUUCACUCAAUACUUUUAGGGUAUUUUGAGACUCGUGGACAAUUUCGUUCGGCGAAACGAGACACUACGCAACGGUUCGGUGAGUUUGACCUAGCCACACAAUGAGAAAAUCUCAUUUGUGAAGAUUUGUGUAAUAUACCGAAAAUUCGGAAAAAUAAAUAUCGAACUUUAGUCAAAUUGACCAAAGUGCGAGGAUGGUAUACUUCGGAAAGUCCGAAGGUGUUAAAACGAUCAAAAGUGCGUUGUGGAAGGUUUUCGAGAGCUAAAGAAUCAAAUCCUGCGAAACUGUAGAUUUUCAGCUCUCAGGGACCGGUCCCUAGUGGGAGAGACCGGUCCCCGAACGCGUAUGAAAUGAGACAGCCGAAAAAUCGGCUAAGUCCUGAGAAAGUAGCUCUCGGGAACCGGUCCCUGUCCGAGAGACCGGUCCCCGAGAGACCGGUCCCCCAAAGAGAGACCGGUUGCCCUGCGCGCAGCAGCCCUGGCUGCGCGGGGAGAGCCUUCGGGAACCGGUCCCUGAAGGAGAGACCAGUCCCCGCCUGCGCGAACAGCCCAGUCCAGGCUGUGUGAAAGAGUAAAGGUUGAGGGGUUUAGCUGCAAUUUUGCAACCCAAUAGGCUAUGUAUGAGGGCAAAUGAGAUAUUUCUCUCAUUUCUUCACCCUCUCACACUCUCUUCUCUCCCUCUCUCUCUCUAGAAGACAAAGAAGAAGAAGAAGAAGGAAAGAAAAGAAGGAAAAGAAGGAGAAGAAGAAGAGGAAGUGAAGAAACUCCCUCUCCCUCAUCUCUAGCUUGGAAAAGGAGAGCUUACAAGGUAAGCCUUGAACCCUAAUUAUGGUAGAACCUAAUUUAGGGUUUGGAUUAAGCUUGAAAUGGGUUUUGUGGAACCAUUUGAGUAUUUGAAGCUUUUCUUUUGCUUCUUUUGAGAUCAAGACCAUAGAAAUGGUGAAGCUUGAGGAGAGCUUCAUCACCUCUCAUGGUGGAACCCUAAGUAGGGUUUUGAUUUGUCUAAAGAUGGUUCUAAUGGACUAUUUAGAGUAUAAUGAAGCUACUUUUGCUUCUCUUUGAGAUCAAACCCUAGGUUUACACAUACAAUGGAGCUAGGGCACCCAAAUUGGGGCUUUUGCUCAUGGGGAUUUCUAAGUGAAAUUGACCCUUCAAAAACCUAAUUGGGGGUAUUUCCGCCGCGUUGGUGCGCUCGGAUUAACGUUACGAAAAGUCAAAGUAAAGUUAUGGGCAAAAUAGCCUAAUAAGGGUUCGUUUUGCCGCAGAUAAAGAACGAAGCAUCUAAAAAUCCCAAGAAAAUCAUCGGAGCACCUUUGAAAGCCUACGAGGUGGGUGGUGCUUCUCAAACUCAUUGAAUUUCUCUCUAUGCCUAAUGUGUCAUUCAUUUGAACAUGUAUAUAUAUAUUGUUUCAUGCAUUUUAGGGUAAAGUAAUGAUGAAAAUGUGAUGAUGUAUGAUUGUGGGUACAACUUGCAUAAUAUGAUGAAUGAGAACUAUGUGAAUGUUGAAAACCCUAUAUGUAUGCAUGAGAGAAAAGUGAGCACCCAAAGUGAGCAAAAGAACAGAGUGACACAAUGACAUAGAUCGAGUGGCAUUCGAUAAAGUUAAAGUGAAAUGACACUAGAGAUAGUGUGAGGUAAAGAACCAAUGUAAUGUAAAGAAUGAUGAAAAUGACAAUGUUAAAGUUAAAGUAAUGUGGGGAGUAAAGAACAUGAAGUGCUAGAGGUAGCCAAAAGUAAAGAAUGUAAAGAAUAUGAUUGCUAGAGUUAGCAAGAGUAAUGAAUGGUAAAGAACAAUGAUUGCUAGAGUGGCAACAAAAAGUGAUGAAAGAACACUAGAGCUAGUGUAAAGUCAAGAUUGAACUUAUAAAUCCUUUGAGUUAAGGAUAUGAUCAUACUUGCUAUGAGUUCCGUGCUCGAGGGCGGUCGCUCCCCCUCGGGCGAUGCGCUCCGGAGUUAUGCAUCACGGGUUGGAGUAAACCCGAAGGACGGUCCUAGCGGGUGAGUUCCUGCGAUGAUGGACUUAAUGUGAAGCAAGUUAAUGUGGCGAUACCCCCGGGUUAGCCUUGAGAUUAAAGAACAAAGAGCAAAGAACAAAGUGCAAAGAACAAAGAACAAAGAACAAAGAGUAAAGUGAAAAGAACAAAGAAUUUGCAUAAUCUGCAUUUAUUUAAUGUUGAGCAUAUUUCUGCUUAUUGUUCAGGCAUAUUAGCAUCAUGUAUAGUUUGGUUACUGUUUACAGCCUAUUCUUUCUAUUAUGCCUGAGUUAGUCCUAGUGGGAAAGUCGGUGAUGUUGAGGCCGAACCCACUGGGAACUUUGUUGUAGUUCUCACCCCACUAUUUCCACAGAGCCGGGACCGAGCGAGCCGGCGAGCGACCGAGGUAAAGGUAUCGCGCCUUAGACAGAGGCCACGAGAGUUGAGUUGGGUUUACAUUUUGAUAGUGGCUACCCUAUGUUCAUCUUUUGUACAUGAUGAUUAGUAAUGUAAAGAAAAGAAUGUAAUGUGUAUUUUGAGGUAAAUGUGAUGUAAGAAAGAAAUGAUGAAAUAAUGUAAUGAAAUGUAAAGAAUCCUAAAUGUAAGAAAUGGAUGCAAUGUAUAUGAUCUAAAAUGAAUCAUAUUACUUGUGUAGAUGUUUAGUUUUCCUUUCUUUCACUAAUGGCUAUUGCUUACCCUCGUGUAAGCCGUUUGUGUAUGUUUCCGCUAGUGCAUUUCUUGUUUGAAUUUGUACAUGUGAUGAGCCUUGUGCGGAUAGGGGAAACUCUAUCCGUUCGGCGUCUUUUUGACGUGCUCGGGUCGAGCCAAAUUGGCAUCGGUCCCGGGGCGUGACAAUUUGAGUAUCGUUAAUUGAAAAAGUAUGCAUAUUUAUGUUAGAUAUAUUUAUUAUGAAUUUUAGAAUGCUUAACAUGCAUACGUUAUGUAUAGUAAAUUUUGGACCUCUAUGUGGUUGGGUGCAUGCAUUUGGGAUGUAGCAUUCUAGUGGAAACUUGGGACCAUGAUUCCUAUUAUGAAAAUGAACAUUGCUUUCUUGCAUUUAACCUUAUGCCUAAUUGCGACAUUAGGGACUUUGGAAGCCUAGAGAGGCUUGGGGACUCAGGCUAUUUGAGGUAUUGGGCCGAUGUCAUAAAGAGGCAUUGGGCCCCCGGCUAUAGUGAAUAUUGGUAUUGACGUCAUAUUUGAAACAUAGAACAUGAAUUGAGCUUUACUAGUUGUGAUGCUUAAGUGUCAUAAAGAGGCACUAAGCAAGUGAGUGUUGGGUUAUCAUAUUGUGACAUAGAGCUAGACCGUUGGGUUACUAGUAGCUAUUGCCAUGUUUGAGACAUGAGGGUUGGAUACUUGAGCCUUUGACUACGCUUGCUUGCCAUUUGUGCUCAUUCGCACAUGCUUGUGAGGGUCGCUCCCUACAAGCCGGCACUCCGGAGUUAGCAUACGCGACUUAUGUUCGCUCGUGCGGUAUUGAGAAGCCUACGGGGUCGAGUGGGACAGACACAUUCCAAGAGUAGGGAUGUUGGGCUACCACAGGCACUUAGGCGGCACAAGCUGGACUACCUUGGGUAGGUCCUUAAUUGGAAAUGGAAAUCGACACGGUGUUGAGUGUGUUAUAAUCACUACCAGAUAGAGAGUAGUAGUUGGAUUACUUGGACUUGCUUUUAGCAUAGUUUUGGACACUUGAGUAUACAUACAUACAUGUAGUAUGCUAGGAGAUGUUGCUUAUUGCAUCCAUAUAUACAUUAUUGCCAUGAUAAAGCAUGAUCUUUAUAACUUCAUAAAGUAGACCGUGACAUUUACCUGUGGCUAUGUUGAAACAUAUUACUUACGCAUUGAACAUUCUUCUUUAUAAAAGAGUAAAUGUAAAACAUUGACAUCGUAAUGUUUAUGGUAUAGUAAGCUUAGUAAACAUGCAUACUUUCAUACCGCAGUUAUCAUUAUUAUUAUUGCUGUUUACCGUACUUACCCUUUUCUUUUGGGGCCUAGUGGUGCAUUGAGCUGAGGUUAGUAAUUGCCCACUGGGAACUAUAAAUUAUAGUUCUCACGCCCUCUGUUUUAUAUUUUCUUUCAAAGCCUUCAACGCCGGGAGAGGCUAGGGACCGUGGGAAGGGCGUUGCUUCGAGCUAGCUCUUCAGCGAGUGACGAGUUGCUAGGUGGUCUACCUCUCGAUAUAUUUUAUUUUGGAAAGGUUGAGAGCUGUACCAGUGUACUAGAGACCACCCUUUUGUGUACUUUUUUUUUGGACAGAUAUUGUAUUACUUUAUAUUUCACUCUUAUUGUUAUAGUAUUAUCCUUUUUCCUAAUUGUAGAUGAUAGAUCUAUUUAUGCUCUGAUAUCUCUAGAUGUUGUUUUUCUUUGGUUUAUUUUCCGCUGUUGUUGUAGACGCCUUAUAUGUGUUGACAUAUAGCGGGUCUGGGCACGCUACCGGGAGGGCCCCUGUCGGUCCCGGGGUAUGACAGAUUAGUUUUGUAUUAGAGCCUAGGGUUGAGUCUUUAUGGACCUAGCAAACCUUAGGCCGGUUGGACUAUAGGAAUUAGGUUCGUGAGAGACGAUGUCUAAUCGAUUUGUGAGCGAAAGUAUUAUGAUUGGGUUUUAUGACAACUCUAAAAAGUUAGAGUUUGAUCGGAGUGUAUGGCUACUAACUUCGCGGAGGGUUACGUUGGCGGCCGACAACGUAACAUCGGGAGUUAGUAGUGAAAGACACUUCCUUACUUUCGCAUGAGUUGGGUUUUAUCUAUUUGAGUGGGGAUGCGAUAGCGUGGGUUACUAACUUGCACUUUUAUGUUUUGUAGUGACGAUGCCGGUUACACGCUCCCAUUCUGCUGGGGCGGAUGAUGCGGCACACCUCGAGGAGGCCGAGACCUCCGCUACUUCCGAAUCUAGUGAGGUCCGUGACUUUUGGACCCAGCUUGCGGUCCUCACUGAUCUGUUGGCGCAGCAGACGGCAGCGGCGCAACGACAGGCUAAGGUGGCUCAGCGGCAGGAGAUGUGGAUGAAGCAUAUUGAGGACCUCCUACUUCAGCAGGCGGCAGCUUCGAGGGAGACCCAGGUUCCCACACCGCCAGCACCCGUGGUGGACGUCGCACCGAGGGCGCAGUCCCGCGCUCCCAGUUCUUCACGUGCGGCGCCGGCGAUCACACCUCGGGAGGAGGUGGCUGCGGCACUCCCAGUUCAGAGACCGGCCACGAGGGCAGCUUUCCCCGUGAGGGCCGAGGGAGCCGAGCGGGAUCGGCUCAUGGAUCGCCUCAGUGAUUUUAGAAGGUGCAGCCCGAGGACGUUUGAUGGCGAGAACGUCGACCACUGGAUUGUUGAGAAGUGGUUGAUGCACAUGGAGAAGCUUUUUCGAGACACUUUUGUGGAGGAGCGGGACAGAGUUUGGCUCGCCACUCACUUUCUCGACGGCGAGGCCUACCGUUGGUGGUUGGAUAUCCAGGACAACCCCAACACUGACUUGGCGGCGAUUACUUGGACGAGGUUCAAGGAGCUCCUUCUGGCGCACUACUUUCCGACCAGCGUCAAGAGGAAGAUGGAGCAGGAUUUGCGCGGCUUGCGCCAGGACGAGCGGUCAGUGGCCGAGUACGAGAGGGAGUUCUCCCGGCUACGUCACUGUGUACCGUUUGUUGUGAGGGAUGACAGGGACAAGGCCAGCAUUUUUUAGCGCGGAUUACGGCCUUCUAUCUUCCGGUUGGUGCAGUCUUCCAACCUCCAGAUCUAUCGGGAGGUUGUGGAUCGAGCAUUGAUUGUAGAGGCUGGAGCGGCAGAUCUUCAGGAGCGUCGCGAGAGCUCGGAGAAGGGGAAGGGAAAGAGGCCCGCGGCUGAGAGUGCGAGUCAAACGCACUCACGAAGGCCGCCGAGGCACCCCAGGAGCCAGAGGCAGUCGCAGGGACGUGGCUCGUCUACUCAGCGAGGAGGACCCGACCGUCGCCAGGCCCCCCGCUGCGUGAUCUGUGGCGGUCCUCAUUAUACGCAGCACUGUUCACGUAGCCGGAGCAGGUGCUUCUUGUGUGGCCAGGAGGGCCACUUUCAGUCGGACUGCCUGAGGAGUCCAUCGCCAGCGCCAUCUUCGGCAUCUGCACCAGCAUCGCCAGGUCCCAGCCAGGGGACAUCUUCUGCGCAUCACCAGGCCGGUCGGCCACCUGUCCAGCGGCAGACGGAGGGGUCACGACAGGCCCCGAGCGGGCGCAUGUACGCGGCCCAGACUGAGGAGGCGGCGGCAGCCGAGAAUGUGGUCGCAGGUAUCAUUUUACUUCAUGGUAUUCGAGUUAGAGCUUUGUUUGAUACCGGUGCAUCGCAUUCAUUCAUAGACCGGCUGUUUGCCGAGUUGCAUGGCAUCCCACUUGUAUCCUUGUUGCAUCCUGGACGAGUUGUUGUACCCGACCAUUCUUUGGACAUCCAAGAGUUUUGCCCCAGUUGCCCUGUUCGGGUUGGAAAUUGGAUCAUGCCCGUAGACUUGCUAGCUUUGCAUAAACUCGGGGAGUUUGAUGUUGUGCUGGGCAUGGAUUGGUUGACCAAGUACUACGCCACCAUUGAUUGCAAGAAUCGAACGGUGACGUUUAGAGAGCCGGGGCAGGCGGAGGUUGUGUACCGAGGAUGCCAGAGUUCGCUGUUUGCGAUGACGAUUAGCUCUUCUCGAGCUCGGCAGUUGAUUAGUAGAGGCUGCGUAGCCUACUUGGCUACUGUUGUGUUGCGGGGUGAGGAUGACACCCCUAGGAUUGAGGAUAUCCCCGUAGUGCGGGAGUUUGGAGAUAUGUUCCCAGCGGAGCUUCCAAGCAUGCCACCUGAUAGGGAGAUUGAGUUUGUGGUAGAUCUCGUUCCCGGGACUACUCCAAUCUCAAAGGCACCCUAUAGGAUGGCACCAGCAGAAUUGAAGGAGCUGAAGGCACAGUUAUAGGAUCUUCUGGACAAGGGUUUUGUGCGACCGAGUGUGUCACUUUGGGGAGCACCGGUUUUGUUUGUGAAGAAGAAGGAUGGAUCACUACGCUUGUGCGUGGACUAUCGUGAACUUAAUAAAGUCACGAUCAAGAACAAGUAUCCAUUACCGAGGAUUGAUGAUCUAUUUGAUUAGCUCCAGGGAUCUUGUGUAUAUUCCUAGAUUGAUUUGCAGUCGGGAUACCACCAGUUGAUGAUCAAACCUGAGGAUGUGUCGAAUACGACUUUUAGAACACGGUAUGGAUAUUAUGAGUUUACCGUUAUGCCGUUUGGGCUUACUAAUGCUCCGGCAGCUUUUAUGGAUUUAAUGAACCGUGUUUUCAAGCCUUAUUUAGACAGGUUUGUCAUGGUGUUCAUCGACGACAUUUUGGUCUAUUCCCGAAGUGAUGUGGAUCACGAGGAACACUUGAGACUUGUACUUCAAGUGCUUCGGAAAAAGAAGCUCUAUGCCAAGUUGACAAAGUGUGAGUUUUGGCUUAGAGAGGUGGCGUUUUUGGGCCAUGUGAUUUCAGGAUCAGGGAUAGUUGUGGAUCCAAGGAAAAUUGAAGCUGUCAAGAAUUGGCCGAGGCCGACGAGUGUGACCGAGAUACGGAGCUUCAUUGGUUUAGCCGGCUACUACAGGCGGUUCGUUGAGGGAUUUGCAAAGUUAUCUACCCCCCUCACGAGGCUCACGCAUAAAGGCACCAAGUUCAUUUGGAAUGAUGCGUGUGAAAGGAGCUUCCAAGAGUUGAAGCAGAGACUGACUACCGCCCCGAUCCUAACCUUGCCGACUGCCGGAGCAGGGUAUGUGAUUUAUAGUGAUGCUUCUUUUAACGGAUUGGGCUGUGUUUUGAUGCAGGACGGGAAAGUGAUCGCGUAUGCAUCUCGCCAAUUGAAGGAUUAUGAAAGGAAUUACCCCACUCACGACUUGGAGUUGGCGGCCGUGGUUUUUGCAUUAAAGCUAUGGCGCCAUUAUUUAUAGGGCGAGCGGUGCGAAGUAUAUACGAAUCACAAGAGCUUAAAGUAUUUAUUCACUCAGAAAGAGUUGAACUUGAGGCAGCGCAGAUGGUUGGAGCUACUCAAGGAUUACGACCUGACGAUUCUUUACCACCCGGGCAAGGCUAACGUGGUGGCGGAUGCGCUAAGUCGGAAAUCGACGGAGAACUUAGCGAUGCUUGUGGUUACUCAACUGCCGUUGAUCAAGCAGAUGAAGCGGCUGGAGUUGGAGGUGGUGGCUCCUGAUACACCUUUGAGACUUAUGACUUUGGUGGUGCAAUCUACACUUAUAGAAAAAAUUAAAGAAAAGCAAGUCUCCGAUGUUGAGUUGCAAAGGAUUCAAGCUAAGAUGGUUGAUGGUUGCACCGGUGAUUUCACUUUAGACGGUGAUGGAUUGAUGCGUUUCCGCGGACGACUUUGUGUACCGGCGGUGUCACGACCCGCGACCACCCGCCUAUUUGGCCGAGGUCGCGACGUCGACAGCGCAGAACGAACAGGGUUUCCCCUGUACUGCGGACAGAGUCUCCCCUGUACGUUCAAGGCAUCGCAAUCAAUACAAUACAAAGGUUCCAAACAGGAACAAUAUCAAUCAAGAUUGCAAGUGGAAGGUAUCAUACAACAUAAACACAUCCUAAGUUAUUACAUUCAUUCACUUUCAUAGUUUUUACUCACAAUUUCUAUUCUUUUUCAUCCAAAUGCAAUCUAAGUUAUUACAACAUUUACUUACUACAAGUUUGAUACAUUGUAUUCUUUUCAUUUCCCAUACCUCUAAGCUAUAUCGACAGGGUACUGCUAGCUCUGGUCUCCGGGUAGGGCGCUAUCUAUGGAUCUACGCCCUUUCCUCGCGCCGCUGCGCCGCUCUCGUGCGAACCUGUAACCCCCAAAACAACGUGGGGUGAGAACCAACUCCAUGGUUCCCAGUGGGUACGGCCACCCAAGGGAAAAGCUCGACCAAAAGGUCCAAGGAGGCACUGCAAUCAUGUUAGUCCAAAAACAUCUAUAGAUAUAUAAAUCAUAAUGUUAAUAAGCAACUAACAGAUAACAUGCCUCACAACGUGCAAUAUGAAUAUUAUGCAGUUCUAUGCAAUCAAGCAACCAUUCAGUAGAUCUAUUGAUUCUACAUUCAGCUUUACUAACUUUAGCUCAUGUCAUUUAGCCUCUAAGGUUCUACUACCUUAGCUCACAACUCAAGUUCACAUUGCCUCUAAGGUCUCUAUUACCUUAGUUCUUACCAUUAUCACUAGCUUAUAAGGUUUCUAUUAACCUAAUCGAGCUAACCACCCGACUCGGCCUCGAGUCAAUCAUCCACGGAUAGUCCGCGCACUGGCCGCACUCUGUGACUUAACCAGCUGGCGGCGAAGUCAUCGCACACGCCGAACACUGGUUCAAGUCCCUCAACUUGGCCACCUGGUGGCAAACGAAUCGCACCUCACCCAACAAUGGCUCAAGUCGAUCUGGCGGCAUAAUCCACAAACUGGCUUAACCAUUCGGCGGCGAAAUCGUUGCACACGCCACGUCAAUGGUUCAAGCCCCGGGCGGUGAUCUCAGUGCACUCACCUCCCAAUCCAUCCUUGGUAUCAACCUCGACGGCGAAAUUGUCGCACACGCCCUAGCCUUGAUACCAAGGUUAUCAAAGAUUCUGGGAUUCCGGAAUCCACUUUUCACAAGUCGAGGGUCCAUAGCCAACCCUAUACCGUCGACCUAGCUCAUCCUAGUGGCUAUACCACUCUACUCAUCAAACUAGGUUUCAAACACUCUAGGUUCUAUGUCCAUGUCACUUAACCUAGUUAUAAAUGCUAGGUUCAUGUCCUCGUAGCCUAGAUGUCCAUUUCUAGGUUUACUAGUUCGACCUAGGUUUACUAACACUAGGUUCGAUGCCACACACCUAGAUUAUUCAAUUCUAGGUUUACGUAUUUAACCUAUGUCCUUUAACACUAGGUUAGAUGCCACUCGAUCUACCUGACAACCUAGUUGUCCACUUAAGCAUUCUACAUUACCAUUUUCCGUUGUCGAGUUUUCUACUCAUUCUAGAUUAUCAAUUCCCUUCAUAUGCAUAUCCUCACAAUGCUACUCAUGUAUUUAUGCAGCUAUCUAGCAUUACAUAGCAUGCAUUAUAUGAUCUAUAUCAUUUAUAUGGACCUACUUAGCAUUUGCAUCAUAUUAUUAACAUGCAUCACUUAGCAUUAGCUACAUGCGCCAUUCACAUGCCUCGUUCACAUUUAUAUGCAUCAACAUGGGUUCUUAAUCAUCUUAGACAUAAAGGUGACCUAGUCGCUUCGGUAAGCACAACCCACCUUAACUCGCGUUCCGAUUGCUCGUCGACACUUGCAAUCGGCCUCCCGCGGCCUCCCGCGGCACUCGGCACUCGUUUGGGCCCGAUCUCACAGUUGCUCUCCAAGAGCGCGCCGCUUCGCCGUCUCAAGUGCUAACGGUCUUCGCCUUGCUGCUACGGUGCUCGGGAUCCAAUCCCAUGAUUUUACGACGUCGCCUCGGCCCUCCCGGCAGACCCGAAGCUUAAACGUCUAUUUCUUUAAUAACUUUGUAACGGCUCGUCAGAUUGCCGAACCGUCUUCGCCAACGCGUUUUGUUACCUAGCAAUUAGGUUUACAGAGGGUUGAAUGAGAUCAAACCCUCAUAUUUGCCAAAACCCCAUUUCGGAGCCCUAGAUUCCAAUUAGGUAAAAACCUAUCUUUAAAUCUCUAGAUUCUAGCAUUAAACAUCUAUUAAGCUUGCUAGGAAUCCAAUUAAACCAUUUCUAGAGAUCAAAACCCUACAUCUAGGGAUUUACCAUGAGAGGGCUAAGGGCUUACCUCUCAAGAUGCUCCAAUAGCAAGGAGGGAGAGAAGAAGGUGGAGUUGAUCUCCUCCUUGAUCUUCUUCUCCUUCUUCUCCUUCCUCUUCUUCUUCUCUUCUUUCUCCCCUUCUUCUUUUUCUUUUGUUUAGAGAGAGAGAGAGAGAAACGUGAGAGAGAGUGAGGGAAUGAGAGAAAGAGAGAGAGAGUCCUCUCUUAACCCCCUCUCAUAUUGUAACAUUUCCAAAUAAGCCCCCCAACUCUUCUAACCUCGCAGUAGCCCGAACUGGGCAUUUUUCGCGUUCGGGGACUGGUCCUUGCGGUGAGGGACCGGUCCCUGAGAGACCGGUCCCCGAAGGUCCAGAAUUCAGCCUCAAGGACUUAGCCAAAUUUUCAGCAUUUUCGCCCGUUUUUGUCCGUUUUAGCUCGUUUGACCUCCGAUUCACUUCAAAUCGAACCGAGACUCUCCAUACAUGUUUUCAAGCAUGUUUUCAUCAUCUUUUCAUCCACGCUAAUGCCGGAUUUAGCUCACGGCCCAACAUAGCCUUUCGGGCUCCGUUUUCGCGCCUAUGCGCACCGAAACGCCCGAAUGCUUCCGAACUUCACCGAACUUCACCGGAACUAUUCGAAUGGCUUUCUAACCAAACGUACACCGUAACUUCAUGAUUUUAGAAGUCCAGUACCUUACAGGCUGACUUGGGUAUUAAAGAGGAUAUUCUUCAAGAAGCACACCGAGCAUCGUAUGCUAUACAUUCGGGAGGCACCAAGAUGUACAAGAACUUGAAGUUGCUUUACUGGUGGCCCGGGAUGAAAAAGGAUGUUGGUGAGUUUGUUGCCAGAUGCUUAACUUGCCAACAGGUGAAAGCUGAGCACCGAGUUCCCAUGAAAAAACUUCAGAGCCUACCGAUUCCAGUGUGGAAGUGGGAAAAGAUUACCAUGGAUUUCGUGAUGGGAUUGCCUCGCUCACAGGCCGGGCAUGACGCUAUUUGGGUGAUCGUGGAUAGGCUGACGAAAUCGGCCCAUUUCAUACCUAUCCACACUAUUUAGACUGGUGAGAGACUCAGAUAGGUUUAUUUGGAUGAGAUUGUGCGAUUGCACGGGGUACCUACUUCUAUAGUAUCGGAUCGAGACCCCCGUUUUGUAUCCCACUUUUGGAGAAGCUUAUAGGAUGAUUUGGGUACGCGCUUGGACUUCAGCACUGCUUUCCACCCCCAGAGUGACGGGCAGUCGGAGCGUACUAUACAGACUCUUGAGGACAUGCUUCGAGCCUGCGUGAUUGACUUCCAGGGAGAAUGGUUGCAGCAUCUACAGAUGGCAGAGUUUGCUUAUAACAAUAGUUAUCAAGCAAGCAUCAAGAUGGCACCUUUCGAGGCACGUUAUGGAUGGAAGUGUAGAUCGCCACUUCAUUGGAGUGAAGUUGGCGAGAGAUUGGCUUUAGGCCCAGAUGUGCUCCAGAAGGCCGAGAACAAGGUUCGCAUUGCGCGGGAGCGACUGUUGACAGCCCAGAGUAGGCAGAAGAGCUAUGCUGAUCGGCGUCGACAAGACUUGAAGUUUCAAGUUGGAGAACACAUCUUCUUGAAAGUCUCGCUGACUCGAGGGAUUAGAAGAUUUGGAACCCGGGGUAAGUUGAGCCCCCGAUACUUUGGACCGUAUGAGGUUUCGGAGCGUGUAGGCCCGGUAGCGUAUAGACUUGCUCUACCGCCGAACCUAUCGGGUGUGCACAAUGUAUUCCAUAUAUCGGUCCUUCGGAAGUACAUCCACGACCCGGCUCAUGUUUUAGACGCUACGCUUUUGGAGCUGAGAGAGGACUUGAGCUUCGAGAAACAACCUUUAAGGAUUUUGGCUCGCGAAGUGAAAAGAUUGCGGAACCGGGAAAUUCCCUACGUGAAGGUGCUUUGGAGCAACCACGACGAGCGCGAGGCCACUUGGGAGUUGGAGAACGCACUGCGGGGCGCUACCCCAUCUUUUUCAGAUGGAGGCUUGAGGUACUUUGUCUUUUUCGAGUUUCGUGGACGAAACUCCUUUUUAUGAGGGGUGAAUGUAGUACACUGGACCUUUGCAAAUUGCGAGGUUCGAGUGUUCGAGCUGUGUUCUGAGUCCUUCCAGACUUUCUGGUGGGUCGUUGACAGUGCUCCGACCUAUGGCUCGUAUUCCGAGAAUUGUGGUUUAAAGCUGUGUACCAAAACCCAAAAAAAGGGGAUUUGGCCAACUCUCGGAUAGCAAUCUGGAGGUCUUGUACCGGUACAAGGUUGGUGGUUGUACCGGUACAAGGUUGAUGGUUGUACCGGUACAGCCACCGGGCUUUUACCGAUACAGAGCGAUUGAACCCCGCCAACCCGAGCCUUGGGUUUGUGAUUUUCAUGGGACUUGUACCGGUACAAGGGCCCGUGUACCGGUACAAGGUGGCAGAAUUUGAGCAGUUUGAACUGCAGGGGUGUUUUUGCGAUUGUGGGUCUCUUAUAUCAACACCCACGCCCCUAGGGCUCUCCUUUGAGCUCACCACUGCAGGGAGAAAGGUAGGGCACCUCUCCCCUUCACCCCCUUUGGAUUUGAUCUCUUUUUAGCUUGGGAUUUAAGUGUUAAUCCAUCUCUUUUCCCUUUUGGUGCAAUUCCACCAUUGUUGAAGCUUGGAGCUUGGAUUUGGAGCUUUGUUGAGGGGAGAUCUUGGCAUUUAGAGAGUUUAGAGCUUGGAUUGAAGCUUCUAAGAGGUAAUCUACUUGUUCUCUCCCUCUAGAUUGGAUUUUUAUUGGUGGUUUUGAGAUGAAACCCUAGAAUGGGGUUUUAGGGCUUAUUUUGGGCAUUUUGAAUUUAGGACUUUUGGAGCUAAAUUAAUUGGAUUAGAAUCUUCCUUUGGGUUGGAUCGGAAGGAUUCUAGCUCUCUUUAGGAGCUUGAGGGAGAUUUUCUACACAUUAGGUGAGUUUUAUCCCUUUUGCCUUGUUGGUUAUGUUUAAUUUUAUAGUUGAUCGUAAUGCCCGUGUAUCUCUUCGCUCAAUACUUUUAGGGUAUUUUGAGACUUGUGGAUAACUUCGUUUGGCGAAACGAGACACUACGCGACGGUUCGGUGGGUUUGACCUAGCCACACAAUGAGAAAAUCUCAUUUGUGAAGAUUUGAGUAUUGUUAAUUGAAAAAGCAUGCAUAUUCAUAUUAGAUAUAUUUAUUAUGAAUUUUAGAAUGCUUAACAUGCAUACGUUAUGUAUAGUAAAUUUUGGACCUCUAUGUGGUUGGGUGCAUGCAUGUGGAAUGUAGCAUUCUAGUGGAAACUUGGGACCAUGAUUCCUAUUAUGAAAAUGAACAUUGCUUUCUUGCAUUUAACCUUAUGCCUAAUUGUGACAUUAGGGACUUUGGAAGCCUAGAGAGGCUUGGGGACUGAGGCUAUUUGAGGUUUUGGGCCGAUGUCAUAAAGAGGCAUUGGGCCCCGGGCUAUAGUGAAUAUUGGUAUUAACGUCAUAUUUGGAACAUAGAACAUGAAUUGAGCUUUACUAGUUGUGAUGCUUAAGUGUCAUAAAGAGGCACUAAGCAAGUGAGUGUUGAGAUAUCAUAUUGUGACAUAGAGCUAGACCGUUGGGUUACUAGUAGCUAUUGCCAUGUUUGAGACAUGAGGGUUGGAUACUUGAGCCUUUGACUACGCUUGCUUGCCAUUUGUGCUCAUUCGCACAUGCUUGUGAGGGUCGCUCCCUACAAGCCGGCACUCCGGAGUUAGCCUACGCGACUUAUGUUCGCUCGUGCGGUAUUUGAGUGGCUACACGGUGAGUGGAAAAGACAUUCCAGAUAGGGAUGUUUGUACCAAGUACUAGCGCCAGUAGAACUAACUUGUAGGUCCCUAAGUUGGAAAAUGGAAAUUGAAUCUGUUGUUGUGGUAAUAUAAGAUAGAGGUCGAGUUGAUUCUGGUUGCUUCUAGCAUAGUUUUGAACCUUGAGUAUACUACAUACCAUGUAUCUAGGAGUAUGUGACUUAUUCUCCCAUAUUACAGUGUUCAUAAUACAUAUCUUAUAAAUUCAUAAAGAAACCGUGAAAUUUAACUGUGGAUGUUGGACAUAUAUUACGCAUUGAACAUUCUCUUAAUAAACAGUAAAUUUAACAUUGACAUCGUAAUGUUUAUGGUAUAGGUAAAACUAGAUAAACAUGCAUAUUUCAUACGCUUAUUUAUUUGAUGUUUACCGUACUUAUUCUUUGGCCUAGUGUGCAUUGACUUGAGGUAGUAAUUGCCACUGAAUAAUAAAUUUAGUUCUCAACCCUCUGUUUAUGUUUUCUUUACGAGCAUUCCAACGCAGGAGAGCUAGGGAGUGAAGGCGUUGUUUGACUAGCUCUAGCGGAGUGCGAGUUGCUAGGUUACUUGAAUAUUUUAUUUUGAAGGUGAGAGUGUACCAUUGUAUAGGAUGACCCUUUUGUUACUUUUUUUGGACAAUAUUUAUCUUAUUAUUUCAUUUUGUUAUAGUAUACUUUUCCUAGUGUAUGAAAUUAAUUUUGCUCUGAUAUUCUAGAUGUUGUUUUUCUUUGGUUAUUUUUCGGCUGUGUUGAGACGCCUUAUAUGUGGUUACUAUGGGGGUCUGGGCACCUACGGAGGCCCUGCGGUCCGGCGUGACAGGUCUAGCUCCCUUACCAAAGGGAUGUCUUCUUGCUAAGAAUAUGGAAGAGAGAAAGAGACGUUGAGGUUGGGUUAAAAACUCUGAAUUAUAUAUAGGAAUAAAAUCUAUUCUAAAUAAUAUAAUGAAUAGGAUAAGUAUAUAUCUAAGAUUUAAUUUUCCUUUCGCUAAGGUUAAUCGAUCACAUCUAAUUUGAUUCGACUUGAAUUUUAAUAUUAAUUUGACUUAUUUCAUUAAUGAAUGCACAUUUGCCCAUCUCUAUAAUAUUACUAAAUUAUAAGCUCUCGCUUAUAACUUAUACACUUUAAUACCACUAAUUUGUAACAAUUACAAAUUACUCCAAUUAUCAACAUAUUGACAAUUAGGUCCUACUGCGAUUCAAUAAUCGCGAUCUAGCUAUCCGAUCAAUCACAACCAUUUAUGUGUGUGACCCCAUAGGUUCUAUUCUAACUGGUAGUGAGAUAUAUUUUGAUCACUAUCAACAAUAUCACGGAAACUCCUUUCGGUAGAUCGGAACAAUUCCAACUCUGCCCAAUGAGAAUUAUCGAUCAUCUAGAUAAUUCUCAUGAGUCUCACAAUCCACCAGUGACGCCUAGCAGCAUGUAGUGGCAUUCCAGUAGAAUGAAAUACUGAACCUCUUGGUGCAGUUAUCGUGUGAUACAAUCCUUCUAUCAUGAGUCCCGACAAGACGGAGGUUAUGGAAUAACUCGUCAAACCCCAUCGCCUAUCAUAUAUUAAAUUCAUUCGACUCGAGUUUCUAAUAUCAGAAACCUUUUUCCGCUAUUAACUCUGCCCUGGUCAAGGUCUUCUAAACUCGGUCUCAUAAAUCAUAUAGGACUAACACCCCUAUCUACCAAGUGAGAUAGAUUCCAUCUAAGUGUGCACCCUAUUCCUACAAUAAACCUACUGUAGCCAACAUGCACCGCAAGGACCCGAAUGGCUAGGGACCAAGUGUAUGUACAGUCAAACUACAGUAACCUCAUUGUGAAUAGCCGAGGCACCGCAGGUCAAAGUACUAGUCACAUUACUGCAACAUUGAAUAAGUCACUGACGAGUGAGUAGACAUCCAAGUGACUUCUCGGGAUGGUCACGCUCGGUACCCUUGUUCUCUAACAACCACCUGCAUAUUCGCUUCAGUGUCCCUACAUUGUCGACUCGAGACCCGUCUACCCAAAAAGGAAGCGACCUAUGCACCAAUCUCACCGGAUCAAUCACCGCCCCCGUGAUGGUCCAUUGAUUAGGAGCAUUUAGGAAUUAACCACCAAUGACACAUGUCUCAAAUUCUCAACUCUUGAGAAUAUAUGUCAUCAUCUUAUUAAUUCCUUGGACGAUUCACGGACACAUACACAACAUGAAUGGAAAUAAAAACCCAAAUUUAUUCAUAAUAUUUUAAAGUCAAAUACAAAUUUAUAUCCUAGAAAGAAUACAUGUGUCAGCCUGGUUGGCUUCUAGGGCAUACAUCUAACACCAUAUAGUAUUACGAUGUCAAGGUUUAUCAUUUAUUAACCCAAAUGUCACUACAUGACGUUCAUGAUUACUAUGUCAAGUAACAGUUACUAGUUCAAAUGCACACAACCAUUGCCAUUAUCCUAUCUAGGAUAGUUCACUUUUGUCCAAGUCUCAAUGAGAGUUCACACUUAGUCUAUUCCACUAAAGCUAAGGAAGCCACUUUCUUAUGGUGUAUGCAUAGUUACCACAAAUUAUUUAUAAUGCUCAUGAUGCAAGCCAUGCACAUAUAUCUUCCUACCCAUACAUCCACCUUAUGGAGUAAUAACAAUUAUGCGAGUGCUUUCAUUCAAUAAUGCCAUAUGCAAAUAUUCAACUAGAAUGAAUGUUCCAACUUGGUUUCUUAUAGAUCUUACAUGUACUACGUUACCAUGUCCCAACUACUUGCCUACAACAAGUGUGAUAUUGUCAUGCAAAUAUAUGCAAAUGAAUGUUCCAACUUGGUUUUCUCUCUUUUGUGUUUUGUUGAGAGAGAGAGAGAUUUUGUAUCCAUGUAUAGAGACCACCUCUGUAUUACAUUCAGUUUUUGUACUCGGGUUUUGUUAUUGUACUACCUUAUGGUUUUAUUUAGUGGAUCUAGCUCUUUACUUAUUUUCUUUUCCUUGUCAUAGAUACUAGAUGUUGUAUACUCUGAUAUCUCUAGAUCUCUUCGUGCUGUUGCUUUAUUUAUUACCUUAUUGUAGACGCCUUAUAUAUUUUAGACGUAUGGCGGGUCUGGACACGCGCCGGGCGGGCUUCCGCUGGGUCCCGGGGCGUGACAGAUCAUGUCCAUGAUGUUCAUAAUGCUACAAUAAGUGACGAUACAUCUCAUUACUAUUCUAACCAUACAUUAUGCCAAUCAAUAUAAGUGUAACAUACUACCACUAGGGUGUCAAUGCUAACAAUGACUAACAUAAGGUCCACAUAUGCACUAUCAUGCAUGUCCACUAGUCCAACUGAUAUACAUCAUCUAGUAGUAGUUUUCACAUUACACUUUAGGUUUCAUAGUUCAAUCCUCAUCAUGGAUCUACACGUGUGUAGUCCGGCUUGUGCCGUGCCAAAAAUGGCCCCAUAGUAGUCAAUAUUCCCACUCUAGGAAUGAGCCUCCCCCACGGCAUCCCAUUUCGGCGCCCAAUCCUGCACGGGCGAGCUUGUGUCACAUAGGCUAUCUCCGGAGUGCCAGCUUGUGGGGAGCGACCCUUACAAGAAUGUGUGAAUGAGCACAAAGGCAAGCAAGCGUGAUCAAUAGUAUCCAGCUCUCGGUCAUCAUGUCUAAAAUAUGGAAUACGUGGCAACGACCCCAAAGGUCCCAUAUAGUAUUACGAUGUCAAGGUUUAUCAUUUAUUAACCCAAAUGUCACUACAUGACGUUCAUGAUUACUAUGUCAAGUAACAGUCACUAGUUCAAAUGCACACAACCAUUGCCAUUAUCCUAUCUAGGGUAGUUCACUUUUGUCCAAGUCUCAAAGAGAGUUCACACUUAGUCUAUUCCACUAAAGCUAAGGAAGUCACUUUCUUAUGGUAUAUGCAUAGUUACCACAAAUUAUUUAUAAUGCUCAUGAUGCAAGCCAUAAACAUAUAUCUUUCUACCCAUACCUCCACCUUAUGGAGUAAUAACAAUUAUGCGAGUGCUUUCAUUCAAUAAUGCCACAUGCAUAUAUUCAACUAGAAUGAAUGUUUCAACUUGGUUUCUUAUAGAUCUUACAUGUACUACGUUACCAUGUCCCAACUACUUGCCUACAACAAGUGUGGUAUUAUCAUGCAAAUAUAUGCUAAGUCUCAUUCAUGCACAUGUCCAAGUCAUAUAGUUAUGCUAUCGAUCUCAAGAUCAACACCUUGUUAGUUACUAGGUCACAAUGCCCUAUUUCCUUGUCUACACAAGUAUAUUAUUUGUAACAUACCAGAUUUUGGUAUAAAAAAAAAUAAAAAUAAAUAAAAAUAGUGUGAGAAACUAUUUUUAUUGGAUUUAUAGAAGUAAAAUAUAAGUUAGAAGUGACUUGUGCUGAAAUCGAAAUGAAAAUAGAAGAUCUAGAAUUUUCUGUUGGAAACGAGACAGAUAAAUUAGCAGAAAAUGCAGUCUCAGAAAAUUAUGAAAAUUGGAGGAUAAGUCAGAAAUAUUUUUAUGAGGCUAGAUUUAAGGUUUCAUAUUUUUCUGACACCCGUAGAGUGAGAAAUAAAAUCCAACAGCUAUCUGAUAAAGAUUACGGUUCGGUACAGUUUUCAGUGACCAAACGAGGUCGAAACUGAAAACAUAAGAUAUAUUCUCACUCAGUACGUUAAACCGAGGUUGUCUGUCAAAUUUGAGCCCAAACGAACAUUCAGAAGGGCUCCAACUGUUCCGAACUACUAAACUGCACUGGAAUGAAUAACGUUGUGGUGUUGACAAAAGAGGAGUGUUGACUCUUCUUCUUUUCCUUCAGCCGCACACACGCCACACACACACACGCGCGCAUGGAGGGGGAGAGGGAAACCCUCCCUUCUCUCUCUAAAUAUCUCUCUCAUCUCUCUAAAUCUCUCUCUAAAAAUUGGAGGGUUGGCAGAGAGCGAGCUUGCGAACGCGUUGGAGGCGACGGAUCGAGCUUUCGUACGCCCGUUGGAGCGGCGUGGUUUCGUCGCGGCGUUCACAUUUUGGUAAGCUUUUGGAAUUUUGUUUAAAUCCUUCAUGAAUGAUGUUCUAGUAGUAUCUAGAGUGUUCUAAACAUGCUCUCUCUAUUUAAUUUGGAUUAUUUAGAGGUUAAUUACAUGUUAGGGCUCCGAAUGGGGUUUUGUAAAAUAUAAGGGUUUGAUCUAAUUUGACCCUCCGUAAACCUAAUUGCUAGGUAAACGAACGCGUUGGCCAAGACGGUUCGGCGAUUCGUCCAGCCGUUGCAAAGUUAUUAAAGAAACGGAUGUUUAGGCUUCAUUUCCGCCUGGAGUGUAAGGAAGUGGAUUCUCGAAAUCCGAGAAUUGUACUUCAUACAGGAUCGACUAACCCUAUCGAGAGAAUGCCCUUUGUGGGAGUUAAGAAUGUCCAAAACACAAGAGGUGCUUUGGAGUUGAGUCCACGAGAGCGAAUGAUGCAAACUGCAUCAUUGGGCAGAUGUUACUCUCGGGGACCGGUCUCUAGAGGUGAGAGACCGGUUCCCUUGGCUGGGUGUAGCGGGGUUGCUUGAUGCAACUGGUCCCUGGCAGGGAGGGACCGGUUCCUGAACGUGGUCCCAGCGAGAAAUGCCGAAAUUUGGCUAAGUCCUGAAAAUCGAGCUCUCGGGGACCGGUCUCUCGGGCCAGGACCGGUCUUCCGAGGACCGGUCUCCCGGGGAGAGACCGGUUCCCGAACGCGUGCGCCCGAGGGAGGCCCUCGGGGACCGAUCCCAAGUCGGGGAGACCGGUCCCUCCGCGCGAACUCUGCCCAGUAAGGGCUGUGCAGUGGAUAGAAAGUUGAGGGGUUUUUAUACAAAAUGGCCUUUAUUAGAGUGGGUUGGGCCCUCUCUCUCCCUCACACUCAUCUCAUUUCCCUCUCUCACACUCUCUUUCUCUCUUGCUCUCUCUCUCUAGAAAGGAAAGGAGAAGAAGAAGAACAAGAAGGAGAGGAAGGAAAAGAAGAGGAAGAACAAGAAGGAGAAGAAGGAGGAGAUCAAGAGUAAGGCUUUGGACACCUUCAUCUCCCUCUCCUCUUCUCUUUGGUGUAGCACAAGAGGUAGGCUCUUGAGCCCUAGCUUCUAAACUUUGGAGUUUUGGGUUUUCAUGCUUUGGAAUGGGUCAAAUAGACCCUAAGCAUGCUUCUAAAUAGAUCAAUCCCAUGAUUCUAGAGAUUUAUUGGUGGUUUGCUAUAGGUGCAAACCUAGGGCACCAAAAUGGAGUUUUUGUAAAAGUAUGAGAUUGAUCUCAUUUGAAGCCUUGGAAACCCUAUUGUUAGGUCACAAAACGUGGGGGCGAAGUCGGUUUUGGCAUUCGGCGAACCGGCGUGAAGUUCUCGGCAAAAUAGGGCCGGGCUAGUGUUGACUUGGGCAAGGAAGGCUAAAGCCUUUUCGUAAAGUUCGCCGAGAAGAAUUUCCGAGGCCUCUACAUCGAUUAAAGGUGGGGGGUGCGAUCCCGAAGCUUUCAGACUCCUUUCUAUGUCUUAGAUUGCAUUUAAUAUCAGCUCUUACAUGUUGCAUUGUAGGAUUGCAUAGUAGCUCAUUCCUUAUGCUUUCUAAAUAAUAACCUAGUGUACUUGGAACGCUUGGUGACGUAGAUAGGUGAGGAUUGGGUCGGAACGUGGAUCCUAUGAUGCGAAAGACAAGAGGUGAACCCGAUAGGGGUAUUGAUGACAUAGAAAAUAGUGCUAAUGUUAAAGAACAAACGAGUGACAUCCAAAUGUUAAAUGAUAACGAGUGGCAUUAAUGUAGUGUAAACAACACUAGAGGUUUGAGAACCUAGGGAUAGGUGGAUCCCUUAGAAAAUGCCUUGUGGAUAAAGAACUUAGUAAACCUAAGUAGCCUCACAUGGAGAGGUUGUCGAUGAGUCGAUUGAGACAUUGACCCUAGUGUUAGGGCUUCCUCACUUGGAGCGGAUUGGGAUUGGGUUGUGGACCCUAGUGAUAGUGCUCCGUCACUUGGAGAGGAUUCGAUUGGGUAUAGACUCUAUUUGUAGAGCAUCCUCACUUGGAGAGGACUCGAUUGAGUUGUUGACCCUAGACGUUGGGCAUUCUCACUUGGAGAGGAUAGAUCUAGCUCACAGUCUGCAUUUGCGGUAGUAUAGCCAUCCAAUCCCCAUAUGGAGGGGAUUGUCGUCAAGUACUCCGGAGUGUCGCGCGACUAGGACUACUUGGAGGUCCGGACCACAUGGAGGUCCGCAGACGGUCCCGGGCUUGGGUGCACUUGGAGCUCCCUCCCCACUUUGGGAUUGAAGGGUGAGUUAUAGGCGAGCCCUAGGGCCUCGCCAUAGAUUGGGUAAAUGAAAAGGUUAAAGGUUUAAUAAUGUCAUUGAACAUUGCUAUUCGAACAUGGGUCGAAUUUGUUAGCAUGGUAGCAAACCUUUAUUAUAUGAUGCAUGCAUUCAUAUUCAUGAUUAUGGGCAUAGUAGCAUAGUUUUCCUACUAUCGCAUUUACAGCUUUCAGAUACAUAUCUAUCUAUAUAUCUGUUGUUACUUGUGCCCACUUGGACCUAGUGGGGAGAUCGGCAAAGUCGGCGGCCGAGCCCACUGGGAACUAUGGAAGAUAGUUCUCACCCCACUCUAUUUCCAGUGGUAGAUACAGGACUACCGAGNAGGGAGGACCGCGGCAAGGGCAUCGCGCCCGAUCAGUGAGACCGUGGCAGUUAGUAGCUUUCAUUUUUGCAUUAGUUCACCAAUGUAUUGAGAGAGAAUCAUUGUAGGUGAGGACAUGGAGAGCUAUGCACUUUGAGAUGAAAAAUGUAUUCAUUUAAAGAGAAUGAUGUAAAUGGAAAUGAUGAAACUAUUGUAAUAGUUAGUAAAAUACUCUCUUUAUUUCACAUGCUAUAUCUUGAGGAUUACUUGCUCUUUAUAUUGUUGGCACUGUUCGUGCCCUUGUGAAUAUGUAUGUUUAGAAUUUAAUUUUCUGGGUAAAUUCUUGUACACAUUCUUGUUGUUGAGCCUUGGGCAGACAGGGGAGGUGCUGUCCAUUCGGCAAUCUGCCGCCGCGGCCGAAUCGUGCCAAAUUAGUAGUGGUUUCGGGGCGGGGUGUGACAGUUCUUUGUGGUAUCAGAGCAACAAGAGCAAGUAAAGAGAGAAAGUCUAGGAUGACCUAGGAGACCCUAGGUUGAUAAGCCCUAAGGUUAUAGGUGCGUGAGCGGAACGUGAACCUAUAGCGAUGGCGGAAGUUAAGUCGAUUGGGUUGAAGUUGGCAAUAUGUCUCUAGUUGUGAUUAGAGACGGACUCAAGUUGUAGGAGUUCUUGUCUUGAGGUGGUUGUGUUGGCGGUCGAUGACAUGAUGCCAAGAGAUUAGAACAAGUGCACUUGUGUGCUUCCGCCCGAUUUUUGUUGUUGAGUCGUCAAGUGACAUAAUUGUGACGAGGCAAUUGGUUAAGAUAACUGACCGAGUAUCUGCAUUUCAGGGACUAAUGUCUCCAAGACGCUACACGCGUAGAUCUGCCCCAGCACCGAUUCCUGAGGUGCCCGAGAAGAAGGAACCGAACGUGAUCGAUCGGUUGCAAGCGCAGGUGGCCGCACUGACCAACGUGGUGCAACACCAGGAGACCCGAUUCGAGCGGCUCUGGGAUCUUUUGGAGCAGCAGAUUGCAGUGGCGGCCGCGAUGGUGAAUGAGGGCGGUGGUCCGCCCACACCCUCGACUCAUAUACCCGUGGCGGCAGAGGGUGAGGGCAUAGCGGCGGUUCCGGUGACGGCACGCCCACCGCCAGCGAUCGUACCACAGGCGGCAUCGGGAUCGGCUACACCCGAUGUGGCAGCCGAAGACGUGGAGGGAGAGCGCGCAUUGGCGGCUCUUAUCAAGUUCAACAAGUUCCAUCCGCCAACCUUCGAGGGCGAGAAGGUGGAACCGGAGAUGGUCGAGUCUUGGAUUGACUCGAUGGAAACCUUCUUCGAUGAUUUACGUACCUUAGAGAGGGACAAGGUGUACCUCGCCACCCAUUGCUUGGAGAAGGCGGCGAAGGUUUGGUAGAAGCGCGUCAAACGGGAUCGGCUUCCCGGCCUUCCGCCAAUGUUGUGGGAGGAGUUCAAGCAGGAGAUGUUUGCUAACUAUUUUCCCGACACACUGAAGCCGAAGCUCAAGGAGAAAUUCCGCAAGUUGGAGCAAGGGGACCGCUCAGUGGCGGAGUAUGAACAAGAAUUCUCCCAUAUCAUUGAUUGUGUCCCGGAUGUUGCAAAGGAUGACCGGGACUGGGCUGAGUGGUUCUUACGAGGACUUCAGCCGGGAAUUUACAAGGCCGUGCAAAUACUCAAGCUCACAACCUUUGCGGAGGUCUUUGAUCGAGCCCUAUGGGCGGAGCACGGAGACGCCCACGUUCGGGAGAAGCGUGAGCUUUUGGCGGAGUCCAAGGACAAGGGCAAGAAACGCCAAGGUGGCGGUAGUUCGGGGGGACAAACACGUUACAAGAAACCCCUGAAGUAUCCGCGCACUCAACAGAAGGGCGGUGGAGCGCGGCGUUGCAUCGUGUGCGGCGGAGACCACCCGGUCUCGCGCUGAGCAAGGCCGAGGCAAGUGCUACAAGUGUGGGCAACUGGGGCACUUCAUUCGGGACUGCCAGGGAGGAGGAGCCUCACCUGCCCCAUCAAUUGCAUCGGUGCCGGCGAUUCCGGCUCACUAUGGAGGAGCUCCACCCACGGCCGCGUCGACUGGACGCGCGAUGAUGCCGCGUCAACAUGAAGCAACGCGAUCGGCCCCGAGUGGACGGGUGUUCGCCGCUCAGGUCCAAGCUGAGGAACCUGCGGAGGCGGAGGAGCAUCGCCUUGUGGCAGGUAUGGUUUUAAUUAACGGAGUUCGCUCCAGGGCUUUAUUUGAUACAGGAGCCACGCAUUCAUUCAUAAGUAGAUCAUUCGCACGCAUGCAUGGCAUACAUAUAGAAGCGAGUGACAAGUGGCGAGUGGAGGCCCUGGGUCGACGUUUAACACUUACUCGGAGUAUGCGUCGUGUCCCGUACAAAGAGGCGACUGGAUUAUGCCUAUCCGGACACUGGAACUCGCAAAGCUUGAGGCUUAUGACGUCAUUCUGGGUAUAGACUGGCUCUCGAAAUAUCACGCAAUGAUCGACUGCAAGAGUAGGGUGAUCACAUUCUGUGAGCCAGGACAGGAAGAAUUCAUCUAUCGGACUUGUCAGAGCUCGUGCUUCGUCGCGACGGUGUCGGCGACGAGAGCAAGGAAGUUGGUCAACAGCGGUUGCACGGCAUUCUUGGCAACUAUUGUGGAGGUGGAGCGAGUAGCCCCAAUGUUAGAGGAGUUAUCCGUGGUGUGGGAGUUCCCGGAUGUGUUUCCUACGAAGUUGCCGGGGAUACCACCGGAUCGGGAGAUCGAGUUCGUCAUAGACUUGGUUUCCGGUACCGCACCGAUCUCGAAGGCUCCGUACCGAAUGGCGCCGGCGGAAUUGAAGGAGUUGAGGAGUCAAUUGCAAGACCUCCUCGACAAGCAAUUUAUCCGGCCAAGUGUAUCACCGUGGGGAGCCCUGGUGUUAUUCGUGAGGAAGAAAGAUGGAUCGUUUCGACUCUGCGUGGAUUAUCGAGAGUUGAACAGAGUCACGAUCAAGAACAAGUACCCACUACCCCGAAUCAACGACCUGUUCGAUCAGUUGCAAGGGUCGUGUGUGUACUCGAAGAUAGAUUUGCAAUCCGGCUAUCACCAGCUGAAAAUCAAGCCGAAGGAUGUGCAGAAAAUCGCGUUCCGCACGCGGUAUGGACAUUACGAAUUCACGGUCAUGCCAUUUGGACUCACAAAUGCUCCAGCGGCAUUUAUGGAUUUAAUGAAUCGUGUCUUCAGAGAGUAUUUGGAUCGGUUUGUCGUGGUCUUCAUAGACGACAUAUUGGUCUAUUCUCGUAGUGACGAGGAACAUGCCGAGCAUUUGAGAAUAGUGCUUCAAGUCCUUCGGGAGGAGAAGCUAUAUGCUAAACUGAAGAAGUGUGACUUCUGGCUCCGCGAGGUCGCCUUCAUAGGGCAUGUGAUUUCCGUAGGUGGAGUUUCAGUAGACCUGAGGAAAGUUGAGGCAAUCAAGGAUUGGCCGCGCCCGACGAAUGUCACGGAGGUUCGAAGCUUCGUGGGCUUGGCGGGCUACUAUAGGCGGUUUGUGUAAGGCUUUUCCAAGAUAGUGAUUCCACUUACCCGCCUGACUCAAAAAGGCACCAAGUUUGUUUGGAGUGAAGAGUGCGACCGGAGUUUUAAAGAGUAGAAGCAGAGAUUGACUUCGACUUCGGUGCUCGCUCUACCGGUGCAGGGCGAAGACUUCGUGGUCUACAGUGAUGCCUCCUAUCUUGGAUUGGGGUGUGUAUUAAUGCAAAGCGGGAAAGUGAGUGCGUAUGCAUCCCGUCAGUUGAAGAGCUAUGAAAAGAACUACCCCAUUCACGAUUUGGUGCUAGCGGCGGUGAUUUUCGCCUUGAAGCUGUGGAGCCACUACUUAUAUGGUGCCCAUUGUGAGAUCUAUACCGACCACAAGAGCUUGAAGUACCUGUUUACACAGAAGGAGCUCAAUAUGCGUCAGCGGCGGUGGUUGGAGCUAUUAAAGGAUUAUGAUGUUGAUAUCCUCUACCACCCCGGGAAGGCAAAUGUGGUCGCGGAUGCGCUGAGUAGGAAGUCGGCGAAGAACCUCGCUUUCGAUGUUACCCAGCAAACACCCCUGUGGCUGGAUAUGGAGCAAUUGGGCCUUGAGGUGGUCGCUCCCGAGGUCCCGACUCAGCUGAUGGCACUCGUUGUCCAACCGACCUUGUUAGAGAGGAUUAAAGAUCUGCAACCCGCAGACCCAGAGCUCCAAAAGGUGCGGCGAAACAUCGAGGAAGGGCAUGGCGGCGAUUUCAAGGUAGACGUCGAUGGUACGCUUCGGUUUCGAAACUGAUGGUGUGUGCCGAAAGAUGGAGAGCUUCGCGAAUUGAUAUUACAAGAAGCACACUGAUCUCCAUAUGCCGAUCACCCAGGCGGCACCAAAAUAUAUCAGGGACUAAGAAUGUAAUAUACCGAAAAUUCGAAAAAUAAAUAUCGAACUUUAGUCAAAUUGACCAAAGUGCGAGGACGGUACACUUCGGAAAGUCCGAAGGUGUUAAAAUGAUCAAAAGUGAGUUACGGAAGGUUUUCGAGAGCUAAAGAAUCAAAUUCUGCAAACUGCAGCUUUUGAGCUCUCGGGGACCGGUCCCUGGUGGGAGAGACUGGUCCCCGAACGCGUAUGAAAUGUGACAGCCGAAAAAUCGGCUAAGUCCUGGAAGGACAGCUCUCGGGAACCGGUCUCUGUCUGAGAUACCGGUCCCCCAGAGACCGGUCCCCCAAGGAGGGACCGGAUGCAUUGCGCGCGGCAGCUCUGGCUGCGCAGGGUAGACCUUCGGGGACCGGUCCCUGCUCGGGGAGACCGGUCUCUGCCUGCGAAAACUGCCCAGUUCAGGCUGUGUGAAAUAGAUGAAAGUUGAGGGGUUUGUUAGCAAUUAUGCAACCCAAUAGCUAUGUUAUGAGGGUAAAUGAGAAAUUUCUCUCAUUUCACCCCCUCUCACUCUCUUCUCUCCCUCUCUCUCUCUAGAAGACAAAGGAGAAGAAGAAGAAAGAAAGAAGAGAAGGAGAAGAAGGAAAAGAAGGUGAAGAAGAAGAUCAAGGAGCAAAGGAGCUUCAUCUUCUUCCUCUCUAGUGCAAGAAAAGGAAGCUUACAAGGUAAGCUUUGAACCCUAAUGUAGUAAAACCCUAGAAAUGGGUUUGGAUGACCUAGAAAUGAGUUUUAGUGAAAUGUUUAAAGAGUUUUGAAGCUUUCUUUUGCUUCUAAAGAGAUCAAAACCUUGAUUUGCAUUAGAGGUGAGCUUGGACCACCUCUCAUGGUGAAAUCCAAACUAGGGAUUUGGAAAGGUUAAGAAUGGUUCUAAUGGACUAUUUAGAGUAUAAUGAAGCUACUUUUGCUUCUCUUAGAGAUCAAACCCUAGGUUUUGAUAUACAUUGGAGCUAGGGCACCCAAAUUGGGGCUUUUGCUCAUGAGAGUUUCUAAGUGCAAUUGACCUUUUAAAAACCUAAUUGGGGGUAUUUCCGACGCGUUGGUGCGCUCGGAUAAACGUUACGAAAAGUCAAAGUAAAGUUAUGGGCAAAAUGGCCUAAUAAGGGUUCGUUUUGCCGCAGGUAAAGAACGAAGCAUCUAAAAAUCCCAAGAAAAUCAUCGGAGCACCUUUGAAAGCCUACGAGGUGGGUGGUGCUUUUCAAACUCAUUGAAAUUCUCUCUAUGCCUAAUGUGUCAUUCUUUGAGCAAAUGUUCUAUAUAUUGUUGCAUGCAUUUUAGGGUAAAGUAAUGAUGAAAUGUGAUGAUUGCAUGAUUGUGAGCACAACUUGCAUAAUGAGAUGGUUGAGAACCUAAUAAUGUCAAAACCCUAGAUGUAUGCAUGAGAGAAAAUGUGAGUACCAAAGUGAGCAACAAAACAGAGUGGCACAAUGACAUAGAUCGAGUGGCAUUUGAAAAUGAAAAGUAAAGAGACACUAGAGAUAGUGUGAGGUAAAGAACCAAUGUAAUGUAAAAGAUGCUGAAAAUGAUAAUGCUUAAAGUUAACGCAAUGUGGGAAGUAAAAGAACGUGAAAAUGCUAGAGGUACCAAAAGUAAGAAUGUAAGAAAUAUAAUUGCUAGAGUUAGCAAAAGUAAAGGACAAUGUAAAGAAUGUGAUUGCAUGAGUUGCAACAUAAAGUGAUAUAAUGAACACUAGAGCUAGUGUAAAGUCAAGAUUGAACUUAUAUAUCGAUCCUUUGAGUUAAGGAUAUGAUACAUGCUUGCUAUGAGUUCCGUGCUCGAGCGCGUCGCUCCGCCCUCGGCGAUGCGCUCCGGAGUUAUGCAUCCGGGUUGGAGUAAGCGUAAGGCGGUCCAGCGGGUGAGUUCCUGCGAUGAUGGACUUAAUGUGAAGCAAUUAAUGUGGCGAAGCCCCCGGUUAGCCUUAACGAUUAAGAAAAGAAGAACAAAGAGCACAGAAAUAAGGAACAAAGCACAAAGUAAGUCAAAGAAUUGAAGAUUUGCAUAAUCUGCAUUUAUUUACAUGUUGAGCAUACUUCUUGCUUAUUUCAUGCAUAUUAGAUCAUGUUAUAGAUUGUUACUAUACAGCUUAUUCUUCCUACUAUGGCCUGAGUUAGUCUAGUGGAAAGUCGGUGAUGUUGAGCCGAACCCACUGGGCCGAACUUUGUUGUAGUUCUCACCCCACUAUUUCACACGAGGCCGACCUGAGAGCCGGCGAGCGACCGAGUAAAGUAUCGCCGCCUUAGUAAGAGGCCACCAAAGUUGGGUACAUUUUGUUAGCAAACACCCUUUUGUCAUCUUUGUAUUUGAUGAUUAGCAAUGUGAAGAAAGAAUGUAAAGCUUAUUUUGAAGGUAAAUGUGAUGUAAGAAGGAAAUGAAUGGAAUUAUGUAAUGAAAUGUAAAGAAUCCUAAAUGUAACAGAUGGAUGCAAUGUAUAAUGAUCUAAUAUGAAUCAUACUACUGUGUAGAAGUUUAGUUUUCUAUCUUUCACUAAUGCUACUGCUUACCUCCGCGUAAGCACAUUUGUGUAUGUUUCCGCUAGUGCAAUUCUUGUUUGAAUUUUGUACAUUGAUGAGCCUUGGCGCACAGGGGAAACUCUGUCCGUUCGGCGUCUGUUUGACGUGCUCGGGUCGGGCAAAUUGGCAUCGGUCUCGGGCGUGACAAAGAAUGCACUAUUGGUCGCCGGAAUGGAAGGGUGAUAUUGGAGCGCUUUGUGGCAAAAGUGCUUAACAUGCCAACAAUGAAGGCCGAGCGUCGAUUUCCAGCGGGAAAGCUUCAAAGCCUACCAAUCCCCGUUUGGAAAUGGGAGGAUAUAUCGAUGGACUUCGUGGUCGGCUUGCCUCGCUCAACAGACGGCCACGAUGCAAUUUGGGUAAUUGUGGACCGGUUGACAAAGCCGGCUCACUUCUUGCCGAUCCACACCAUGUGGUCGGGUGACAAGUUAGCGCAGGUAUAUCUUGACGAGAUAGUGAGACUGCAUGGGGUGCCGAAAUCGAUCGUGUCGGAUCGUGACCUCCGGUUCACUUCACACUUCUGGAAGAGCCUGCAGGGAGCCCUUGGCACACGGCUCGACUUUAGCACUGCAUUUCAUCCCCAGACUGAUGGGCAAACAGAGAGAACUAUUCAAACUCUGGAGGACAUGUUGCGAGCGUGUGUCAUUGACUAUAAGGGAAGUUGGUGUGAUCACCUACCUAUGGCCGAGUUUGCCUACAACAACAGUUAUCAUGCUAGUGUGGAGAUGGCACCGUUUGAGGCUCUUUACGGGCGGACGUGUCGGUCUCCUAUACACUGGAGCGAUGUGGGUGAGCGUACAGAGUUCGGCCCCGAUGUUCUGCGAGAAGCGGAGGAGAAAGUCCGCCUUGCUCGCAAGAGAUUGCUCACGGCGCAGUCGAGACAACAAAGCUAUGCGGAUAGGCGCCGUCGAGAUAUAGAAUUCGCGGUAGGCGACCGGGUAUUCUUGAAAGUUUCACCGAUGCGGGUUGUGAAGCGGUUUGGAGUGCGGGGGAAACUAAGUCCUCGAUACAUUAGACCAUAUGAGAUAUUGGAGCGAGUCGGCACGGUGGCCUACUGACUUGCUUUGCCGCCGAAGCUUGCGAAUGUACAUAAUGUAUUCCAUGUCUCCAUUCUCUGCAAGUAUAUUCACGACCCCGAGCACGCGAUGCUAUAUGAACCGCCGGAACUUCAAGGAGAUUUGAGCUAUGAAGAGUUUCUGGUAGGGAUUAUCGCCCGAGAGGUGCGAAAGUCAAGAAAUCGAGAAAUUCCCUAUGUGAAGGUUAGGUGGAGCAAUCAAGAGGAUCGCGAAGCCACCUCGGAACUCGAGGAUCUGAUGAGAAAGCACCACCCUCAUCUAUUUGAGGAGUGAGGUAUGAAUUUAAGUUAAAGUAAUGAAAUGAGUUCGUUUCGAGGACGAAACUCCUUUUAAGGAGGGGAGGAUGUAAGAAAGUGGAUUCUCGAAAUCUGAGGAUUGUACUUCAUCCAGGAUCGACUAACCCUGUCAAGAGAAUGCCCUUUGUGGGAGUUAAGAAUGUCCAAAACACAAAAAGGUGCUUUGGAGUUGAGUCCACAAGAGCGAAUGAUGCAAACUGCAUCAUUGGGCUGAUGUUACUCUCGGGGACCGGUCUCUGGAGGUGAGAGACCGGUUCCCUUGGCUGGGUGUAGUGGGGUUGCUUGAUGCAACCGGUGCCUGGCAGGGAGGGACCGGUUCCCGAACGUGGUCCUAGCGAGAAAUGCCGAAAUUUGGCUAAGUCCUGAAAAUCGAGCUCUCGGGGACCGGUCUCUCGGGCGAGGACUAGUCUCCCGAGGACCGGUCUCCCGGGAAGAGACCGGUUCCUGAAUGCGUGCGCCCGAGGGAGGCCCUCUGGGACCGGUCCCAAGUCGGGGAGACCGGUCCCUCCGCGCGAACUCUGCCCAGUAAGGGCUGUGCAGUGGAUGGAAAGUUGAGGGGUUUUUAUGCAAAAUGGCCUUUAUUAGAGUGGGUUGGGCCCUCUCUCUCCCUCACACUCAUCUCUUUUCUUUCUCUCACACUCUCUUUCUCUCUUGCUCUCUCUCUAGAAAGGAAAGGAGAAGAAGAAGAACAAGAAGGAGAGGAAGGAAAAGAAGAGGAAGAACAAGAAAGAGAAGAAGAAGGAGAUCAAGAGGAAGGCUUUGGACACCUUCAUCUCCCUCUCCUCUUCCUUUUGGUGUAGCACAAGAGGUAGGCUCUUCAACCCUAGCUCCUAGACUUUGGACUUUUGGGUUUUCAUGCUUUGGAAUGGGUCAAAUGGACCCUAAGCAUGCUUCUAAAUAGAUCAAUCCCAUGAUUCUAGGGAUUUAUUGGUGGUUUGCUAUAGGUGCAAACCUAGGGCACCAAAAUGGGGUUUUUGUGAAAGUAUGAGAUUGAUCUCAUUUGAAGUCUUGGAAACCCUAUUGUUAGGUCACAAAACGUGGGGGCGAAGUCGGUUUUGGCAUUUGGCGAACCGGCGUGAAGUUCUCGGCAAAAUAGGGCCGGGCUAGUGUUGACUUGGGCAAGGAAGGCUAAAGCCUUUUCGUAAAGUUCGCCGAGAAGAAUUUCCGAGGCCUCUACAUCAAUUAAAGGUGGUGGGUGCCAUCCCGAAGCUUUCGAACUCCUUUCUAUGUCUUAGAUUCUAUUUAAUCUCAUCUCUUACAUGUUGCAUUGUAGGAUUGCAUAGUAACUCCUUCCUUAUGCUUUCUAAAUGAUAACCUAGUGUACUUGGAACGCUUGGUGACUUCGAUAGGUGAGGAUUGGUUCGGAACGUGGAUCCUAUGAUGCAAAAGACAAGAGGUGAACCCGAUGGGGAUAUUGAUGACAUAGAAAGUAGUGCUAAUGUUAAAGAACAAACGAGUGGCAUCCAAACGUUAAAUGAUAACGAGUGGCAUUAAUGUAGUGUAAACAACACUAAAGGUUUGAGACCUAGGGAUAGGUGAAUCCCUUAGAAAAUGCCUUGUGGAUAAAGAACUUAGUAAACCUAAGUAACCUCACAUGGAGAGGUUGUCGAUGAGUCGAUUGAGACAUUGACCCUAGUGUUAGGGCUUCCUCACUUGGAGAGGAUUGUGAUUGGGUUGUGGACCCUAGUGAUAUUGCUCCCUUACUUGGAGAGGAUUCGAUUGGGUAUAGACUCUAUUUGUAGAGCAUCCUCACUUGGAGAGGACUUGAUUGAGUUGUUGACCCUAGACGUAGGGCGUCCUCACUUGGAGAUGAUUGAUCUAGCUCACAGUCUGCGUUUGGGGUAGUAUAGCCAUCCAAUCCCCACAUGGAGGAGAUUAUCGACAAGUACUCCGGAGUGUCGCGCGACUAGGACCACUUGGAGGUCCGGACCACAUGGAGGUCCGCAGACGGUCCCGGGCUUGGGUGCACUUGGAGCUCCCUCCCCACUUUGGGAUUGAAGGGUGAGUUAUAGGCGAGCCCUAGGGCCUCGCCACAGAUUGGGUAAAUGGAAAGGUUAAAGGUUUAAUAAUGUCAUUGAACAUUGCUAUUCGAAUAUGAAUCGAAUUAGCAUGGUAGCAAACCUUUAUUAUAUGAUGCAUGCAUUCAUAUUCAUGAUUAUGGGCAUAGUAGCAUAGUUUUCCUACUAUCGCAUUUACAGCUUUCAGAUACAUAUCUAUCUAUCUAUCUGUUGUUACUUGUGCCCACUUGGACCAAGUAGGGUGAUCGGCAGAGUCGGCGGCUGAGCCCACUGGGAACUAAGGAAGAUAGUUCUCACCCCACUCUAUUUCCAGUGGUAGGUACAGGGCUGCCGAGGGAGGACCGCGGCAAGGGCAUCGCGCCCGAUCAGUGAGACCGUGGUAGUUAGUAGCUUUCCUUUUUGCAUUAGUUCACUAAUGUAUUGAGAGAGAAUCAUUGUAGGUGAGGACAUGGAGAGCUAUGCAUUUUGAGAUGAAAAAUGUAUUCAUUUAAAGAGAAUGAUGUAAAUGGAAAUGAUGAAACUAUUGUAAUAGUUAGUAAAAUACUCUCUUUAUUUUACAUGCUAUAUCUUGUGGAUUACUUGCUUUUUGUAUUGUUGGCAUUGUUCGUGUCCUUGUGAAUGUGUAUGUUUAGAAUUUAAUUUCCUGGGUAAAUUCUUGUACACAUUCUUGUUGUUGAGCCUUGGGCGGACAGGGGAGGUGCUGUCCGUUUGGCAAUCCGCCGCCGCGGCCGAAUCGUGCCAAAUUGGUAGUGGUUUCGGGGCGUGGCGUGACAUGGAGGGCCGAGGCGAUAUCGUAAACUCAUGAAAAUGGAUUUGAAGCACCGUGGCACAUAACCGAAGACCUUAACUUUCGGAUUGUGGAUUGGAGGCCGUUCGGAUAGUCGCGCGAGAGAUCGGGCCAAACCGGGUGCCGGGUGCGCGGGAGGCCGAUUGAAAGUGUUGACAAGCAAUCGGAAAGCGAUUUGAGGUGGGUUGUGUUUACCUAAGCGACUAAGUCGCCCUUUAUGUCUAAGAAACAUAUGAAUUCAUAUUGAUGCAUGUUAAUAAAAUGACAUAGCUAAUGCGUGUGGACAAUGUGAUGCAAACUGCUAAGUAGAUGCAUAUAAAAUGAUGUAAUAUAGAAAUGCUUAUUGACAUAAUGACAUAGUCUAGAAAUGCUAAAUGUAAUGUGCAUGUUAAUAUGAUAAGAAACCAUGCUAGUGAUAUUUGCAUGAUAAUGCAUUGAUAGUACAUGCUAGUAAGUAAAUGCAUAUUAAUACAUAUGUGUAUAAUGAGCAUGUUGGAUAAGAUUCGUGUACAUGUAGACUCGAGAUGACAAUAGGAUGUCAAGUAGAUCGAGUGGCACUUAACCUAGUGUUAAAGAACAUAGGUUGUGAAUUAAUCUAGAGUCAUGUGAACUAGAUCGAGUGGCACUUAACCUAGUGUUAAAAAACAUAGGUUGUGAAUGAAUCUAGAGUCAUGUGAACUAGAUCGAGUGGCAUCUAACCUAGUGUUAAAGAACAUAGGUUGUGAAUGAAUCUAGAGUCAUGUGAACUAGAUCGAGUGGCAUAUAACCUAGUGUUAAAGAACAUAGGUUGAGAAUGAACCUAGAGUUAAUCGAAUCUAGGUGUGUGGUAUUAACCUAGUGUCGAGAACAUAGGUUGAGAAUUGAGCCUAGAGUUAAAGUAAACCUAGGAUACGUGAUAAAGGCAUUGAACCUAGAGUCAGUUGGACCUAGGGUGAAAAGGACACUGGAUAUAACACACUGGACCUGUGCAAAUUGCGAGGUUCGAGUGAUUGGAUGUGUUUCGAGCUUUUCCACACUUGGUGAAGGGUUAUGGAAUAUUUUUCGAUCCAAAAAGUCCGAAAACUUGAGUUCUGGAUGAGUCCUGAGAGUUUUUACUCUCGGGGACCGGUCCCUGAUAGGAGAGACCGGUCCCCCAGUGAGCAGUGUUGCGCUGUCGGCGAGGCAACCGGUCCCUGGCGGGCGAGAUCGGUCCCCGAGCACGUCUUCACAGUGAGAGACCGAUCCCGCGCGGGGAGAGACCGGUUCCCGAACGAUGGUUUCUCGAGUUCGACACGAGAGACCGGUCCCUUGCAGGGAGAGACCGGUCCCUCUGGGCGAAAUCUGCCCAGACCGGGCUGAUGCAAUUUUGGCUUUUUGAGGGACCUCCUUGGAUUUUGUUACUUUGGAGGGCCUAAAUAGCCAUUCCACCCUCUCCUUUCCUCAUUUCCUUAUUCUCACCCUCUCCCUACACCUUCUAGAGAGAGAAGAAGGAGGAGGAGAAGAAGAAGAAGAGGAGCUUACUUAAGGGAGCUUGGAGCUCAACCACCUUUCUCUCCUUUCCACCUUUGCAAGGCUUGGAGCUUACUUGUAGGGCUUGUUAGUGGACCAAUCCUCAACCCUAGAAGAUUUGGAGCUUGUUUGGAGGCGUCUUGAGAGGUUAGUACUUCGAUUCUACCCUUUGAUCCUUGUUUUGGUAGAUUUUUCUAUAUGGAACCCUAGAAUGGGAUUUUAAGGUUGAUUUUGGAGCUUUUUGAUCUAGGGCUUUUGAGGCUAGAUUUCUUGAGUUAGAACCCUCCUUUGGGUUAGAUUGGAAGGAUCCUAGCCUUCUUUUGGAGCUUGAGAGAGAAUUUCUACUCCCUAGGUGAGUUUUUGCCCUUUUCUUGUGGUUGUUAAUUUAUGAGCCUAGAGUUGCUCGUAACGCUCGUGUCUCUUCGCUCAUUACUUUCAGGGUAUUUUGAGACUCGUGGACAACUUCUUUCGGCGAAACGAAGGACACCGCGACGGUUCGGUGGGUUUGACCUAGCCUGGCAUAUGAGAAAUUCUCAUAUGCUAUGUUUUAUGCUUGUAGAGUAAAAAAUUCAUGCAUUUCUAUGUUAAAUGUAUUUAUUGUGAAUUUUAGGAUGCUUAACAUGCCUAUAUUAUGUGUAAGAAAUUUCGGGCCCCUAUAUAGUAGAGGGCUACCAUGUGGGACUUGUACAUGAUUGGCAUCCUAUUGAGACUUGGAAUCAUAUUUCCUAGUGUGAAAAUGAGCAUUACCUUCAUGCAUUUUAAGCUAUUCCUACUUGAGACUUAAAGGAUCUUAGUAAGCCAUAAAGAGGCAUAUGAUAAGAUUGACAUGUGAGAUCGUGAGCUAAUGUCAUAAAGCGGCAUUGAGCUCGGGUUGUGUGGGAACCUAGUGGAUAGGGCCAUUGAGAGAAUUGGAAUAUAUUUGUACAUCGAAAUGUCUAAGUGUCAUAAAGAGGCAUUAGACUUAGUGAAUGAUAGGAGCUUCACAUUGUGAUCUAGAGCUAGAUCAUUGAGAUGCUAGUGACUAUUACCAUGUUAGAAACAUGAUGAUUGGGUACUUGAGACGAUGAUUACGCUUGCUUGCAAUAUGUGCUCAUUCGCACAUGCUUGUGAGGGUCGCUCCCUACAAACCGGCACUCCGGAGUUGGCCUACGCGACUUAUGUUCGCUCGUGCAGUAUCGAGAAACCUACGGGGUUGGGAGGGAUAGACUCAUUCCUAGAGUGGGAAUGCUGGAGCUACCACCGACACUUAGUGUAAUAUACCGAAAAUUCGGAAAAUAAAGAUGUCGAAUUUUAGUCAAAUUGACCAAAGUGCGAGGACGGUGCACUUCGGAAAGUCCGAAGGUGUUAAAAUGAUUAAAAGCGAGUUACGGGAGGUUUUCGAGAGCUAAAGAAUCAAAUUCUGCAAAACUGCAGAUUUUGAGCUCUCGGGGACCGGUCCCUGGUGGGAGAGACCGGUCCUCGAACGCGUGAGAAAUGAGACAGCCGAAAAAUCGGCUAAGUCCUGAGAAACUAGCUCUCGGGAACCGGUCCCUGCCUGAGAGACCGGUCCCCGAGAGACCGGUCCCCCAAAGAGAGACCGGUUGCCCUGCGCGCAGCAACUCUGGCUGCGCGGGGAGAGCCUUCGGGAACCGGUCCCUGAAGGAGAGACCGGUCCCCACCUGCGCGAACAGCCCAGUCCAGGCAGUGUACAGAGAUAAAAGUUGAGAGGUUUAUUUGCAUUUUUGCAACCCAAUAGCUAUGUAUGAGGGCAAAUGAGAUAUUUCUCUCAUUUCCUCACCCUCUUACACUCUCUUCUCUCCCUCUCCCUCUCUAGAAGACAAAGGAGAAGAGGAAGACAAGGGAAAGGAAGGAAAAGAAGGAAAAAAGGUGAAGAAGAAGAUCAAGAGGUGAAGCAACUUCAUCUUCUUCCUCUCUAGUGCAAGAAAUGAAAGCUUAUAAGAUGAGCUUUGAACCCUAUUGUAGUAAAACCCUAAAAUGGGCUUUGAAUAAACCUAGAAAUGGUUUUAAUGGAUUGUUUAGAGUCUUUGAAGCUUUCUUUUUGCUUCUUUAGAGAUCAAAGCCAUGGUUUAGCUUGAGGUGAGCUUUGGCCACCUCUAAUGGUGAAAUCCAAACUAGGGUUUGGAAUGAGCUAGGAAUGGUUUAGAUGAACUCUUUAGAGUAUAUUGAAGCUACUUUUGCUUCCCAAUGAGAUCAAACCCUAGGUUUGAUAUAUGUAUUGGAGCUAGGGCACCAAAUUGGGGCUUUUGCUCAUGGGUUAUUUUAGUAGAGAUUUUGGGCGUCUGUGUGCCGGGCAGGGAAGAACGAGGAUCCUUAAAAUUCAAAAAAAUCGCGAAGUCACCUAUGAAAGCCCUACGAGUGUGGUGGUGGUGGCUUUCAACUCGUGAACUUCUCUCUAUGGCCUUAAUGUUGCAUUUCAAUUUGGAGCCAUUAUUGUACAGCUUUGUUUGCAUUUGCUAUUUUUAGGGUAAAAGAGAUAAUGAGAGAUUUGUUGUUGUGCAUUUUAUUUUGGAUACAAACUUGCGCUAAUAUGAUUGGAGUAAUCCUAUAUAAAUCGAAAAACCCUAUGCUGUAGUCAUAGAAGAAAAGUAGCAUCGUCCAAAGUGAGCAUAAAAAGCAGAGUGCACUUGUGACAUAGAUGCGAGUGGCAUUUGAAACUAAAGUAAAUGACAUCUAGAUUAGUGUAGCCCAAAGAACCAAAGUGAUGUACAAAGAAUGAUGCAUAAUGACAAUGUGAAAGUUAAAGUAAAGUGAGGCACAUAAGAAUAAGAAUGUAAAGAACAAGAAUCUAAAGUUAGCAAAAGUAAGGAAAUGAUAAAGACACGCAAUCGACUGGCUAGAGUAGCAAACACGUGAAGUGACGUAAAGAACGACUAGAGUUAGUGGUAAAGUCAAGAUUGAACUAAUUCUUUGAGCUAAGGAAUUCGAUCAUCACUUGCAUGAGUUCCGUGCUCGAGGGCGUCGGCUCUCCCCUCGGCGGUGCGCUCCCGGAAGUUAUGCAUCCGGUUGGAGUAAACACGACGAAGGACGGUCCUAAGCGGUGAGUUCCUGCGAUGAAAUGGAUUUAAAUUGAAGCAAGCAAUGUGCGAACCCCGCGGCUUAGCCUUCGAGAUCAAAGAAUAAAGAAUAAAGAACAAAGAUCAAAGAACAAAAGAACAAUAGUAAAAGAUAAAGAACGAAAGAACUGCAUAAUCCUGCAUAUUUAAUGUUGAGCAUAUUCCUUGCUUAUUGUCAGGCAAAUAUUAGCAUCAUGUGUACAUUGUUACAAUAUUUCAGGCUUAUUCCUUUCUAUUAUCAGUUGAGUUAGUCCUAUGCUGGGGAAUCAGUCGUGGAUGUGUGGCGCGACACCCACUGGUAACUUUGUGUUGUGUUUCCACCCCACUAUUUCCACAGAGCCGGGACCGAGGCGAGCCGCGAGCGUACCGAGGUAAGAGAUAUCGCCGCCUUAUCAAGAUCAGCCACCAAAGUGGUUUCAUUUUGUAGUUAAAGUACCUCUAUGCAUGCCCUCUUGUACAAUGAUGGUAAAUGUGUAAAGGAAAAAAUGUAAUGGUAUUANNNNNNNNNNNNNNNNNNNNNNNNNUUCUAAGUGCAUGAAUUACCCUCAGAAACAGCUAAUUGGGGGUAUUUCCGACGCCGUUGGUGCGCUCGGUUAAGUUACGAAGAGUUUAUAGGAAAGAUAGUUGGGCAAAAGUGGCUAGUUGGCUUCGGUUUUGCCGCAGGUGAAGAACGAGAGCCAUACACUCUCAAGAAAAUCGUCGAAGGACCUUUGAAAGCCUAACGAGGUGGGUGGUGCUUUCCCAACUCCGUGAACUUCUCUCUAUGCUAAUGUGUCAAUUCAAUUGAGGCAUGAUGUACAUAUUUUUUUUUUUUUUUUUUUUUUUUUUUUUUUUUUUUUUUUUUUUUUUUUUUUUUUUUUUUUUUUUUUUUUUUUUUUUUUUUUUUUUUUUUUUUUUUUUUUUUUUUUUUUUUUUUUUUUUUGUUGC